RNAcentral lists this long non-coding RNA (52244 nucleotides) under Cucumis sativus (cucumber). RNAcentral describes it as "long non-coding RNA (CSAT_LNC001937)". The record is from RNAcentral. Lineage: Eukaryota; Viridiplantae; Streptophyta; Magnoliopsida; Cucurbitales; Cucurbitaceae.
AUCCCACAACUCAAUUCUUAGUCUAAAGAAUAACAGAUCAAUUCUAGUGGUGGUUUGGUUCGAGAUUGUGAGAAAAUUACAAGUGAACGAUAGCUAUAAAGGUAUAAUUUCUAAAACCAUAAUUUUGUCUAGAUUAGAUUUAUGCAUGUUAAGUUAUAGAAUUAGAUGCAAUUAGAGUAAUUUGAUUUGAAUUUUGUUGGGCAUGUCUAUUGUUUUCUAUUAGCCCUAGACCUCCAAUUGAGUUUGUUUUGUCGCGAAACUGACUUUGUGGCCUAGAAUUACCUGAAUUAAACUCAAUACGUACAAAAUGAAGGAAUAGACAUAUAAAAAUACAAGAACGACCCUGAGUUAAGCAUAAUAUAUAAGAUAGCAUAUUUUCAACGCUAUCAUCAUGACUUUUGAGGUAGGAGACGAUUCAAAUCCUUCAAUCGGUAAUUGUUCAACUUAAAAAUUAACUUUGAAUUUUAAAAUAUUACCAAAACUUAAAAGAGAUAAAGAGAAUAUCUGAAAAGAUCCCAAAUGCAACUAAAUUCUAGUUAUGGAAUAUCAUUAAAUUUUAGGACGAUUAUUAAAUAUUAGUUAUAUAAUUGACUAAUUUUCUAAAUCAUAUUAAAAUAAGAUAUACCAAAAUAUUUUAAAAUAUUUACAAAAUGUAUAUAGCAAAAUUUUAGAUCUAUCGUUGAUAAUUUUUUUUUUUAAUAUCUAUUAGUGAUAUUAAGUAAUUGACACUCUAUUUGUGAUAGAUUUUGAAAUUUUGUUAUAUUUUGUAAAUGUUUUUAACAAUAAUUACAUCAAUAGUUUUUUGAUAUACCUGUCAACAUCUUUAUUAAAUUGAAAUUUAUAUACAUGUCCAUGGACAAUUGAAACUUUGAUCAUGAAUAAGGCAGAGACUUGGUCAUAACAAAGAUGGAGCAGUCAAGAGAGGAGAUUUCUUCAAAGGGUUUAGGCAUAUUCCUUGAUUUAACACUGAGUGAUUGAUCUUGGAAAGACUCAUUAAAGAGGGUGGUUGAGAGGUUGGUUAAAGGUCCUUUCCGGUAUUUAAGUUUUGUGCGUUUGUUUUUAAUAUAUUCUUUUAAUACAAGUUAAGAGAUAAAAGGCAUAUUAUUUAUCUCUAGGUUCCUCUCUCCAUUUUUUUUGAAUGAAAACUUAAAGAAAAAUUCACCAAAGAAAAAGAAAAAGAAAAGAGGGUUGUUUGAGUCAAACGUAAUGUCUAAUCAUGAUUGUCUCCCCAACUUUGUAAAAGAACAACCCCACUUUGAUAAGUUCUAAUCAAAUGAUGAAGAUGAUUAAUAAAGCUUAUGAAAGCAAUGAGUAAAGCUAAGUAUUCUAGAAGGUUCUCUCGAACUUAGAAGGUUUUCGAAGUAUCUACCAUAUAACAUAAUUAAAUAUGUAAAUUAGAUUUUUCUAGACUUGGAGUAUGUAAAUAAAUAUGUAAAUUAGACUUUUCUAGAACUACGUUGAAGUAUGCAAAUAAAUAUGUAAAUUAGAUUUCUCGAACAUAUUGAAGUAUGUAAAUAAAUAUGUAAAUUAGAUUUCUCGAACUAUGUUGAAGUAUGUAAAUAAAUAUGUCAAAAAAAAAUUAGAAACAUCCCAGGUUUUCAAGGAGUUUUGUGGAGAAUCCAUUUAAUUAAGAAUAAACUAAUAAAUAUCUAGAUACUCACAGCCAAGAAUAAUUUAGAGAGAUCUUUUUGUUUGGGGUAGAAGGAUCUCUCAUAUGUAUAAAUAACAAGUGUGACACUAUUUGUGAGCCAAACAAAGAAAGAAAAGAAAAUGAGUUAAAAGAGAAAUUUUAAGUGAAAAGCGAUGGAGUGUCUACAAAUUGUAAAAGAGUAUUCUUUUCAAAGUGACAUCUAUGUUCUUUCUUGAUAGAAGUUUCUUUCUUCAAAAGAGAUCAUCACAAUAAAAAUUCGGGGUUAUCCCAACGUAGAAACAAGUGUCAGUAUAAAGGAUGUCGUAAGAGACAGGUUUUGCCGACACCAUUGCAACGACAUCGGCAAGAGGAAAAACAACGAUGCAAUACAAUUACAACGUCGUUGAAGGUUAUUAGUUAAAAAUAAUAUUAUAACUUCUAAUGAUGUCAUGCAAGUCCGCGUCGACAUUUCCACCCUAACAACGACGUCGUUGUCGAUGACGUUGGUGAUGCUUAAGUUAUUAUUAAAAUGGAUGAUUUAUCGUGACGUCUAUGAUGACGUUGUUGACCACAUCGGGAAAGGUUGGACCUUUUAGUCACUUUGAAGAAUGAUGUUUUGAUUGAUUUAACAGGAAAAUGGUGAUACAGAUCAAAUUUACGUUGGCAUUAGGUGACUUCUAACGGCGACAUAAUUGGUUGUGUGGUUAGAAGCACGUUCUCGCGAUGUUUUCGUCGUGCGUCACGAGAACCCUACUUUUAUUUGUGUUCAUUUGAACACAAAAAGGCAAAGAGAAAAAACAAAGUAGGAAGGGAAGAUGAAAGACGAAAGAGAGAGAGAGAUUAAGCCACCGCCGAUCGUUGCCGCCUGUCGCCGUCGUCGCCCAUCGCCGUCGCCGCUGCCCACUGACCUCGUACCAGUAAAAAAUGUUAUUUUGUAUGUUGGAGAUUCUAUGUAUAUUGUAUGUAUAUAGUAUGUUUAAGGUUUAGGUCUUGUGUAUUAUUGUAUGUAUAUAUAUAUUUUAGAUUGUAUGUAUGUUUAGGGUUUAGAGAUUGUGAAUGAAUGUAUGUAUAUUGUAUGCAUAGGGUUUAGCGUUUAGGGUUUAUAUGUUUAUGGUAUAUAUAUAUGUAUAUGUAUAUGUGUAUUAUGUAUGUGUAAAUUGAAAAUUGUAAAUGUAUAUGUUUAUAUUUGUAAGUUGUAUGUUUAUAUUGGAAGGUUGUAUGUAUGUGUAUAUUGGAAGGUUGUAUGUAUGUGUAUUGAAAUUGAAAUUGUUAUCGUAUAUAUGUUUAUUGGUAGAUUGUUUAAAUUAAAAUUGUAUAUAUAUUGUAUUUAUGCUAUAAAUUGUAUAUCGUAAGUAUUUUUAUUACAAUUAAAUUGUAAAUUGAAAUUGUUAUUUGUGUGUAUGUUUGUUAUUAAAUAUGUUGUAUGAAUAAGUUAAAGUAAAUUAAAAUUAAAAUUGUUAUUGCAUGCAUGUUUAUGGUAGAUUGUUGAAUUGGUAAAAUUGAUGAAUUUGAUGAAAUUACACGUAUAUGUAAUGUGUGUAUUAAUAUUACGUGUUAUUUGAAUUUUAGAUUGUAUGUGUAAUGUAUGUGAAAAUUGUAGAGUUUGUAUGUGUAAAUUCUCGUGGUAUGUGUAAAUUCUUGUGGUAUGUGUAUAAAUUUGAAGAAAAUAAGUGUUCGAUUGUUCUUGUUAAAAUCUAUGGAUGAAGAGCUCUCGAUGUAUGUAUAGAUUCUUGUUGUUGUAUUUAUAUUGUAUAUAUAGAUUAUAGAUUGUAUAUAUGUUCUUUCAGAAUUACAAUUUGCAUACAAUCUGCUAUUGAAGUAGCGAAGAAAGAAAAAGAAGAGUAUGAGAGAAAUAAAAAGAAGAGUAUGAGGAGAAAGAAAAAGAAGAGUAUGAAGAGACCAUAUAAGAGCUUAGGUGCAAGAAUUUCCUUUGAUUGCGUUUGAGGACCUCAAAUCCAAGAGUAGAGACAUACGCAAAAUGUGCAAAGAGGAAAGUUAAACAUUAUUACGUGCCACGUUGAAAGAAAUAUGAGGUUGCUUCAAAGAGAAGCGACCCUCGCUCUCGUGAUUCCAGAAAAUUGAUUGGAAAAAGAGGACCAAAAAAUGACAAGAUCGAGAAUCGAACAGAUAAAUAGAAAGUUCCUCACUUGCUUUGGUGGUCUUAUAUGCAAAUGAAGAUUUUUCUAUGGUUUACCUAUUCGGUUCUCGAUUCAUUUUCUUGUCCUCUUUUUCUAAUUCAUUUUUUGGAACCACCAGAGCGAGGGUUGCUUCUCUUUGAUGCAACUCGUAAUAAUGUUCAACUUUUCUCUUUUCACAUUUUGCUCAUGUACAUACUCUUGGAUUCGAGGUCAUCAAACGCAGUCGAAGAAAAUUCUUGCAUCUAAGCUCUUUAUAGUCUUCUCAUACUCUUCCUUUUCUUUCUUUGCCUUCAAUAGUUUUGCCGACGUCAUUGACAAACACCAUUGUAUUGUCGACGUGUUGACCUUGUCGACAAAUCAUGCGUUGGCUAAAGUUCUACUUUGACAUCAUCUCAUUCUUGCAUUGUCAUUACCUCUUACGACGCGUCAUUUACAGCACUCGUGUCGACAUGCUUUUCUGUGUCGACGAAGGCUGCAUCGACGCACAAUGGAUUUUUGGUGAUGCAUUUAUGCAUCGACAAAGCUCAAAAUUCUUGUAGUGCAUCUCUUUAUUUGUACCAAUUUCUUCAACAACUGGUAUCAGAGCCAAGGUAGCUCAAGUUGUUAUGGUGGAGCAUUUGAAGAUUUACAUACAGUUUGGGACUGUGGAGUUUGUUGUCUAGGACACAGUUUCUUAUUAGAAUUCAUAUUCACUAUAUAAUGGUCGAAGACCUUCAAGUUGUUGGAGGGAUUAAGAAGCAACACUAAAAAUUAAGUACAAAACAUAGUCUACGUGCAUGAAUUCAUAUCUCCAAGGUCAGGACUUGUGGGAUGUUGUAGGAGGCAAUGAAGUCAACCCACCUAAUGAUGUAACUGCUUUAAAAAAAAUGGAAUAUCAAGGCAAGUACGUCAUGUUUGCAAUUAAAACUGUAUUGAAGAUGAAAUGUUGGAGCACAUCAAUAUUGUGGAGAUGUCAAAGAAAGCAUGGUACACACUCACAUAAUUUUCCUUUGAAAAAAGUGAGGAUCAAGAGAACAACUCUUGUCAAUAGUGGUGGAUCUAUAAAAUUUAUUGACAAGGGGCUUUAUAGUUUAGUCAAAAUAAUUUAUAAGUGAGUGAUUCUAAAAAUUAAUAAUUUUAACGACUUUCAUACAUCACAAUUGUCCUCUACGUGAUUUCAUAUUUUUAAAUCGAUACAUAAUAACUCCAUUAUCUAUCUUAUCAAAUAAAUCUCUCAAUAUAUGUUACACGACAAUCAUUCAUCAGUUGGUCUCCCAUUCGAUUGCGCAACUGAGUCUUUAUAAUGCUCAUAGCAGAAAAAUGUGCUCUCCACGAUAGUCGUUGUAAUUGGUAAUAUCAAUGUUAAGGUAAGUAAAUGAUAGACUAAUGGGUAGACUUUAUCUUUAGUUAUUAUAACCAUUUUUUUUUAGAAAGAUCACCAAUACUUGUUAACUCAACAAAUAUGCUAUCUGAACACACAUCAAUGAUGUAAUUUUGAAGUUGAUCUUCAAGAAUAACAAGCUUUGUAGUUGAAAAAUCUCUAGGAUAAAAUUGUGCAAAGAAAAGAAGUUUGUGUCUGUCAAAAGUAGUAAAUGAGUUGCUCGGAUUGAGACAUGUCACACAAAAAAGCAACUCGAUACCUUUUUCAGUGAUAUUUAACUCUUGAAGUUGUAUGUCAAUAACUGCAUAAAAAAUUUCAACAUGAUAAUGAUGUAUAUUUGUGAUUUUUUGAGAUUUUCGUCUUUGCUUUCCUCGAACCAAAAAUGCAUAAUCCAUUUUAAACAUUAGAAUUCCAUGCUUAUUACAAAAAAACUUGAAACUUCAUCCAGCAAUGAUCGUCAUCCUAAUUCUCUCAAUGGGCUGUAAUCUUACUUUACAAAUCUUGACCAAAUUCAUUGCAUUCACAAUAUCCUGGUCUUUUCUUUGUAGUGCUUGAGACAAAUCAUUUGUGAUUUCCAAGAUAACUUUCAUAAGAUGCACAUGAAAAACGAACUCAAAUGAUUGGACUGAAUUCAUUAGAACUUCUACUUCAUAUUUUUGUUCAGAAUUUGAUCCAUCAUCUAUGUGUAACACCCCAAAUCCUAAGGUAUUUAAAAAAAAAAAUUAGAAUUUGCCUAGUUAUUGGAAGUUUUCUUUUAUUUAAUGUUGGGUGUUAUGUUAUUGCAUUUUGAUUGAAGAUUGAAUUUUUUUUUUGAAAGAAAGGAAGUUAAGGGGGAAAAGGAAUUUGAAAUGUAAUAAUAAUAAUAAUAUAUUAUUAUUAUUAUAUUUAUAAUUAUUGUUUAUUAAAACAAAUAAAAGAAAAAAGAAAAUUUUCUUUUUUCUCUUCCUCUUCACCGCGUCCUCCAACCGCCGCCACCCUCCCCCUUCCUCUCUUCUUUUCUUUUCUUUUCUCUUCCGUUCGACGCCAACAUAUAGCCGCCACCAGUUUUCUUUUUCCGUUCGACGAAGCCGGCAGUCGUGUACGGUCCAGAUCUGCGUCGCCGUGCUGUCCAAGUCCUUGUCGCCGCUCGAGCUUCGCCCUUGCGGUUCGCCGAAGCCAACAUUCUGCCGGUGUCUAAUCUUUUCUCUUCGUUCCGUCGCCGCUGCAUCAUUCGUCCGUCUGGGUUGCACAGCCGAGCCGCGACUCCUUCGUGCACAUAGUCCUACAGCCGAGCCGUUCGCUCCCCACAAAAACCACUCGUGAGACGUGCGCCGUUUGUCCAAGCCGGCUUGUACUCCACGUUGUUGCACUAUCUUCGUUUAGGUUCGACAGUUACUGCCUUUAUUUUUCGGUGCGAAGUCGACAUUGUCUUAUUGAUAACAAAUUAAGUAUGGGUAUUGAUUUUUCAAAGUUGUUCAAACGUUACGGUUGAGAAUAUUUGGCUAAAUUGAUAAAUCAUUUUUGAAGGUGUUGAAGGUAGCAUUGGGUCACUUGAAUUCACAACCAAUUUGUGAAUUUUGGAGUUCGGCUUGCCAAUACUUGGUAAGCUAGAAUCUACUUUGAGGAGAAAUUUAGUGGAAGUGUGCCAUGAAAGUAAUUGAGUUUCAUAUUUUAUGUUUAGGUGUACCGUGAAGUGUGUACCGAGACUAGUAGUGGGUCUCUUACUAAGUAUGUUUAUGUUUAAUUUUUGGUAACAAAGGUGACAAACCGGCGAAACAAAGGUGACAAACCGGCGAGAGGCAGGAAGAAAGUGUGAUUGUCAUAGGGAACAUCUUUAUUUUGCUUCCACUCUAUGUUUUUUAUGUGUAAAACAUUAUGUUGGAACUUAGUUCACAAACUAUUACUUUGGUAACAGUACUUUUAAAGUUUUAGUUGUUUAAAACCGGACCUGUUUAAAGUUGUUUUUCUUUGAUUAUAUGUUUUUCAAAUGUCUUAUAUUCAUUUUGUAUCCAUCGAGAUCUUUUGUCAAAAAGUUAAUGACCUCGACUUAGAUAGAAAAGUUGGUCGUUACACUAUGAUUGUCUCAAGUAGUUCACAAAUUGAUGAGAACAUUGAAAUACAUCUCACCAAAGUGUUGUGUGAUCCUAACCAUGUAUCUUCUCGUCGUUUAUUCAUUGUUUCCUUAUUUAAUCCUCUUCCACUUGACAUUUAGCUAUUAUUCAAAGCUUCAAAAGUGUUGCCACUAUGUUUCUUUCUUAACAUCUCUCAAUGUUUUGGUGAUGCACCAAUAACAUCACCACAUUUACAACUAAAAUAAAAAGAUCAUCGAUCUCUACAUGACUUUUUGCAAUAGCUACAAAAGCUAAUUGAAGCUGGUGAGAGAAACGAUGAAUGUAAAAUACACAUGCAUAUUGCUUGCUCCAUCAUAACCUUGUCCUCACAAACUCGCUAUGCUUAAUCCAUGUAUAGAAAAGAAUCCAUCAAUAGCUUCUUUAAGUUAUAAAGAAUUUGUAUUGGUAACAUGUAUAAUACUGACAAAUCGUUCAAUCACACACCCUUUGUCUACAUAUCUCAACACAAUUGACAUUUGCUCCUUUGAAGAUAUAUCCUUCUACUCAUAAAUCAAAAUUGAAAACAACUUAUCACCAAUAUCUCGUAUGAUUGCAUUGACAAUUUCUAGUACAAUAUAAUUAACAAUAUCUUUUUGGAUGUGUAUUUUACUUCAAUAUCUUUAUUAUGGUUGCAUAACCAUUAUAGGAGUUCAAGAGAUUUACCUUGAUUUUUUUAAUCUUCAGUUUCAUCGUGCCCACAAAAUGGAAGACUUUGUUGUAAAAAAAGUCGAGCACAAUCAAUUGUUGCACCUAAUUGAAUCAGAUAGUAAUGUACUUAACUAGUUACUGUGGGAUUAGUGUGUUGUCAUGUUAUUUUAAAUAUGUUUCUGUCAUGUUACUGUUAUAAUUAGAAGCCGAUGUAAUUAGUUGACUUUUGGGUUUUAGUAUAGAAAACCUUAGUUUGUUAUUUUGUGGUUUUAAAUAAAAGAAUUCCAGAAGAAGAUUUUUAUUUUUAGUUUUCAUGUUUUCUGUCCAAGAACACAGACACACACCAAACACCUCAAAUUAAUAUCAGAGCUUCACUGAUGAAGGGUGUUGUGACCGGCGAGAACACCUCCAGCAAGGGAAAGAAGGUAGUGCCUAAUGAAGACGAGAUCCCAUCCCCAAGCACUUCAGUUGCCUGAUUGAUGACCAUUAAAGGAAGCAUGUUAGAACUCAUCAACCGAGUGAGAAAUCUUGAAACCAACAUGGAAUGUCUUGCUCAUCGGUUGGAAGUAGCGUUGACGACACUUCCCUAGAAUCAGAAAAUCAACAACGACAAUCACCAAGAACUCUAGUGCAUUAUCGACCGAAAUUUCAGUUAGUCAGGCCGCAAAAACAAUCAGAGUUCAUCAGAAACGUCCGACGAAGGUGGAAACCACAUCAAAGACUGUCAACUACAAAAACCCAAUAUGGGGGUCUUCAAGAUUUGGAGGCUUCUAAAGAGGAAGAAGAUAAUUUCCGACCAUGCCAAAGAAAAAGAAGAGAUAGAUGGGGACAGAGACAAUUUAGAUUUCAAAAUCCACUUUUCAGAAGGGGCCGAAAUGGAGGAGAAGACUAUCUUGAAGACCAUGUGCAACUUGCCCGAUACAGAGAAAUAAGAAGAAGAGAAAAUUUUCAGUAAGAUUUCAAGAUGAUGGUUGAUUUACCAAAUUUCAAUGGCAAAUUGGAUGUAGAAGCAUUUCUUGACUAGGUUAAAAAUGUGAAUAGUUUCUUUGAGACAACCGAAGACAGGAAAGUCAAGAUGGUCGCACUGAAGCUCAAAUCGGAUGCAUCAGCUUUGUAACGACCCAACUUUUCAAAUUGAGUCGAAAUCAUUAUUUUAAAUAAAAACAUUUUGGUUGACAUGAAAUACGACAAAAUUUAUUUGAAACAAUAUUAUCAAAGAAAUAAUAUACGGACCCUAUUUCAAUCAAAACUAAAUUUCAAUUUUAUAAUUUGGAAAGUAGUUAACAGAAAAAUAAUUGUUCUAAAUAUGAAACUCAUCUUAAUCCUCAAAACUGAAAAAAAGUAAAAAUAAAUAAAUUAAAAGACGUUAAGCGGAAGUAUAAAAAAAGUGUUCCCAUAUGGCAAUCACGAGCCCUUCUUGUCCCUCAUCGGUCUACCUCUUGUAUUACCUUUGCCUGAAAAAAUUAAAUAUAAAGGAGUAAGUAUAAAAUAUACCUAGCAGGAGACCCACUAUUGAUCCCGUUAGUGGUAAAAACUAUUAACUUCCUAUUGGGAGGUACCCUGCAUCACAACAGUCUCGUGUCCCUGAAGGAUGCACAUAAUCAGUCUAGUGUCCCUGAAGAAUGCACAUAUCAGUCUAGUGCUCCAAAGGAUGCACAUAUCAGUCUAGUGCUCUCGAAGGAUGCACAUACAAGUGGUGAUUCCAUAGGACACAUGCAAGGUACACUAUCCCCUAAGUGAAGCUAACAAUUUUCCCUCAGUCUAUUCUAACAAUUUAAACAGUCAACCCAAAAUACAGUCCAACCUAUCUCAUCAUAUAAUCAUUUAAGUCCAACAUAUAUAUAGUCAAUUUACCCAUACUAAUACAUAAUCAAUCAUUAUUAUAACGAUUCAUCAAACAAUCAACAUAUAUAUAGGCGUCACCCACCUUAAUUCAGACAAUUCAGUCAACAGUACACUAUCCAUACAUUAAUAUAACAAUCAACCUUCCUCAAUUCAGUCAGUUCAACAUUCUCAAUUCAGUCAAUACUUUGCCACUUUUAUAUAGGGAUCAGUAGUAGAAAAUCUCUUACCUUAACGUUAUUUAAGCUUCUUGAUCGAACUAAAAUGUAACGAAACAAACCUAAGCACCAAGAUAAGAAACUCAACAUUUUCUCCAAAAAUAACAUCCACUUAAUUCAAGCCAAUGUGAAAUUCACAACUUACCUAAGUCAAAUGAAGAAUAAACUUCCAAUGAAGCUUGCUGUGAAACUCAAAGGUUCAAGCACAACUUAUCCAAAAUUACCUUGAAGACACGUGACAACCCAAACAAUUAAUCCAACAAUAACACUUUAACUAGUUAUGAAACAACUACAAAACCCAUAACUUCAAUCUUACCAAGAAAUCUUCGAUGGUUCACAGCAAAAUAGAGGCAGUGGUGUACGAACCUAAACGAAAAAGAGCGUGCAAAAUAGACAGAUCUGACGGCUAACUUGGAGGUGUGCGUCGGCUUGCAACUCGAUGGCUGGUGUUCGGCGAUUGGCGUUCGUAGAUGGCAGACGAAAACAGAUCAGUUGGUAACGCUCCAUAGUUCACGAAAUAGAGACACCGCGGCGCGGGUGUAGUCAGCUCGGUGUCGAACAAAACAGUGGAAGAAGAUGAGACAGCAGACGAUACAGAACAAGAUAGAGACGACCAUGGUUGUCGGAGAUGGCGAAUGGAAAAAGAAGCGAAAAAAAGUAGAAGGCGACGACAUCUGUAACUCACGAAGAAGAAGGAAGGAGAUGAAAGUGAGGCAAGCGAACCGAUGGGUUUUUUUUAAAAAUUUAAAAUAAAUAAAUAAUAAUAACAACAACAAUAUAUUGGAUUUUUUUUAAAAAUAAUGUCUUUUGUAAAAGUAUUUACAAAAAUAUGGUAGUUGAGAAAGUAUUUUAAAAAAUAGGUGACUGAAGUCGUGUACGGGGUACACGACUUUCACAAAUCAAUUUGGUGUCGUGGACCGGGCUUACGAUAAUAAUAAUAAUAAUAAUAAUAAUAAUAAUAAUAAUAAUAAUAAUAAUAAUAAUAAUAAUAAUAAUAAUAAUAAUAAUAAUAAUAAUAAUAAUAAUAAUAAUAAUAAUAAUAAUAAUAAUAAUAAUAAUAAUAAUAAUAAUAAUAAUAAUAAUAAUAAUAAUAAUAAUAAUAAUAAUAAUAAAUAAUAAUAAUAAUAAUAAUAAUAAUAAUAAUAAUAAUAAUAAUAAUAAUAAUAAUAAUAAUAAUAAUAAUAAUAAUAAUAAUAAUAAUAAUAAUAAUAAUAAUAAUAAUAAUAAUAAUAAUAAUAAUAAUAAUAAUAAUAAUAAUAAUAAUAAUAAUAAUAAUAAUAAUAUAAUAAAUAAUAAUAAUAAUAAUAAUAAUAAUAAUAAUAAUAAUAUAUAAUAAUAAUAAUAAUAAUAAUAAUAAUAAUAUAAUAAUAAUAAUAAUAAUAAUAAUAAUAAUAAUAAUAAUAAUAAUAAUAAUAAUAAUAAUAAUAAUAAUAAUAAUAAUAAUAAUAAUAAUAAUAAAUAAUAAUAAUAAUAAUAAUAAUAAUAAUAAUAAUAAUAAUAAUAAUAAUAAUAAUAAUAAUAAUAAUAAUAAUAAUAAUAAUAAUAAUAAUAAUAAUAAUAAUAAUAAUAAUAAUAAUAAUAAUAAUAAUAAUAAUAAUAAUAAUAAUAAUAAUAAUAAUAAUAAUAAUAAUAAUAAUAAUAAUAAUAAUAAUAAUAAUAAUAAUAAUAAUAAUAAUAAUAAUAAUAAUAAUAAUAAUAAUAAUAAUUAAUAAUAAUAAAUAAUAAUAAUAAUAAUAAUAAUAAUAAUAAUAAUAAUAAUAAUAAUAAUAAUAAUAAUAAUAAUAAUAAUAAUAAUAAUAAUAAUAAUAAUAAUAAUAAUAAUAAUAAUAAUAAUAAUAAUAAUAAUAAUAAUAAUAAUAAUAAUAAUAAUAAUAAUAAUAAUAAUAAUAAUAAAUAAUAAUAAUAAUAAUAAUAAUAAUAAUAAUAAUAUAAUAAUAAUAAUAAUAAUAAUAAUAAUAAUAAUAAUAAUAAUAAUAAUAAUAAUAAUAAUAAUAAUAAUAAUAAUAAUAAUAAUAAUAAUAAUAAAUAAUAAUAAUAAUAAUAAUAAUAAUAAUAAUAAUAAUAAUAAUAAUAUAUAAUAAUAAUAAUAAUAAUAAUAAUAAUAAUAAUAAUAAUAAUAAUAAUAUAUAAUAAUAAUAAUAAUAAUAAUAAUAAUAAUAAUAAUAAUAAUAAUAAUAAUAAUAAUAAUAAUAAUAAUAAUAAUAAUAAUAAUAAUAAUAAUAAUAAUAAUAAUAAUAAUAAUAAUAAUAAUAAUAAUAAUAAUAAUAAUAAUAUAUAAUAAUAAUAAUAAUAAUAAUAAUAAUAAUAAUAAUAUAUAAUAAUAAUAAUAUAUAAUAAUAAUAAAUAAUAAUAUAAUAAAUAAUAAUAAUAAUAAUAAUAAUAAUAAUAAUAAUAAUAAUAAUAAUAAUAAUAAUAAUAAUAAUAAUAAUAAUAAUAAUAAUAAUAAUAAUAAUAAUAAUAAUAAUAAUAAUAAUAAUAAUAAUAAUAAUAAUAAUAAUAAUAAUAAUAAUAAUAAUAAUAAUAAUAAUAAUAAUAAUAAUAAUAAUAAUAAUAAUAAUAAUAAUAAUAAUAAUAAUAAUAAUAAUAAUAAUAAUAAUAAUAAUAAUAAUAAUAAUAAUAAUAAUAAUAAUAAUAAUAAUAAUAAUAAGUGAAGCACUCGAUCGUGGUGAUAUUUAUACGGAAUAUGCGAUAAGAAAGCUUAAGAAGUGGGAAAAACGAGCUUCUGCACAUUCAAUGACAUCCAUUGAUAGAGAAACCCAGACAUUUGAGGUUCACACGGGUACCAGUUGAGGUGUCAGUUGGUCGACCUUUGAGUUUCAGGUAUUUUAUAUAUAUAUAUAUAUAUAUAUAUAUAUAUAUAUAUAUAUAUAUAUAUAUAUAUAUAUAAUUUUUUAGUAAAAUUUGCAGGGUUUAUAACUUAUUAAUGAUUUCAUUUCUCACAUUAGAUGGAGCGGCGUUAUACCAUUGUCAGAACUGUCCGCAAAUAUGUUGAUCACCUACCGAAUGCUUUUUGAUCGGCUGAUCAACUCUCAGGUACUAAAAUAUUAUAUCAAUAUUGCGUAGGCAUGUUUUUUGUUGUUUCCUUAUGUUCGUUUUUUUUAACAGAUUAAUUGGACACCAUACACGUCCCACAUUAUGGAAUUGCUUCCACAUCAAUGUCAUAACGGCCAAGCGAUGUGGACAUAUGUGGGUCCUAUGAUUUGCUUUCAUCUCGUUGAGAAGCAUCAAGCAGAUCGUGUAUUGCGACAGUUCCAUAUGCUACAAAUGCCACCAGAGUUUUGCUCCACAGAUCAGGGCCUACACAAAAUUGAUUUAAGAGGCAAGCACGAUCAAGAUUGGAGUAGGAUUCAUGCAGAGCAUAUAGCAAUGUGGCAUUCACGAAAUAAUUUUUGUGCCGAAGCAGAAGCAACACAGAAGUCGACAGUAUCAGAUAACUACUUUUCCUGGUACACGUCGAUUACCCGACGCUUCAUGACACCUGAUGGCGCUUACUGUUAUAGCAUGGUAAUAGUUUUAAUAUGAUUUAUAAAUUUAAUACAAGCAUGAACAUUUUUUAAUUAUAUUAUUUACAAUCGUUCAGAAUAAUUUUGUUGAAGACGUACGUCGAGUCUCCAUGGAAAACAAUUUUGAAAUUUUUAGUCCAAUGUGUGACGAAGUCAUGGGAGAUAUAGACAGCCUUGUUCAGCGGACUCGACGUUUAAAUGUUGCCGACACAGAUCGUAGACGCAUUCGACAGCGACGAUGAUGACAAGGCGAUGAUGUCGUAGAGGGAGAUGGGGAAGCUUCUUAAGUUGUAUAAUUUAAGUGUUUUUAAAUUUUGCUAGAACUUAUUCAAGUUGUAUAAAUAAAAAGUUGAACUUUUUUAAAUUAAUUAUAAAUUAGAAGUUGCUAAUACAUGAUUUAGAUGUAGGAGUAUUCUUAAUAAUAUCAAUAUAUAAUAUAUAUUUUUUAAAAGUAGAGAACCAAGUAUUAAAAAAAACGUUCAAAAUUCUUAUAAGAUAUCACUAAUGAUGUGUUUACCUUUGGUUUAUUUUUUUAAUUUGUUCAUAAUAAACAUAAAUUACAAAAAAUUUGGCCAUUUAAACAAAAACUAAAAUUUUCACAUAUUUAAAGUUGAAGAUUUAAACAAAAACAUAAAUUUCCAACUACCCUAAUUUUGAAAAUACUUUUUAAAAACACAUUAUUUUAAAAACAAAUCCGUCUUUCACAAAUGUUUUUACCCUAAAAAUAGUUAAUAUUUUAAAAUAUAAUAAUUUUAAAAACAAUUGUUUAGGAAGUCGUGUACCCCGUACACGACUUCUGUCCACGACUUCCGUCCACGUGGGUCAAACUCGUGCAUACGUGGAGCGAAGUGGUCAAAUGUGCUGACAUGUGCAUUUAGGAAGUCGUGUACGGGGUACACGACUUCGUACAAUUUCAUUUGGAAGUCGUGUACCAAUUUAAAAAAAACACAUAUUUUUUAAAAUAGUUUGGGAAACAACCUUAUUCUUAUAAUUUCUUUCCCAACAACCCUAUUUUUCAAAAUAUUUUCACAAAACACAUUAUUUUUAAAAAAAAUCCCAAUAUAUUAUAGUAAUUAUAAUAAUAUAAUAUAAUUAUUAUUAUAUUUCACUUAUUAUUACUUUUCCACUUUCCAUUUUCCAAUUCCUUUACUUUUUUUUCCAAUUAUUUUCUUUUCCAUCAAAUUAAAUCUUUUCCUUACCAAUCUUAAAUAAAAUAGCACCCAAAAUUCUUUAAAAACUUAAUAAAUUUUAAAAAUUAAGUAAACUUAAAACUUUGAGGUGUUACAGGCUUGGUGGGAUCAAAUCCAUGUCAAUCGACGUUUAAUUGGACAGACACCCAUACAGAGCUAGCCAAGAGUGCUUAAGAUGAUGAAAGAACGCUUCCUAUCCACAGAUUUUGAACAAAUUCUUUAUCAACAAUAUCAGUGAUGCUGCCAAGGUAAUAGAAAAGUGGCAGAAUAUGCUAAAAAAUUUCACCAUCUAAGUGCAAGAACCCGAAUGAACGAGAAUGAAAAUAGAUUUGUUGAUGGUCUUAAGGAAGAAAUUCAUGAACAACUAGAUUUACAGCCCAUAUCCACAUUACCGACCGCUAUUUUGAUGGCUUUUAAAGCUGAAAAACAGGCUGAAAAACAGUGGCACCAAGAAGAAUCAGUGGGAUAAGACAUUCACUCCGUACCAACGAAAGAACUAUGACAAUGCCAAACAAGUUCAAGGCUUCAAUACAUCAAAGGUGAAAGAAGAAUAACCUUCUAAAAUAAACCAAAGCCCAAGAACUCAAGAACUCUCUAACAAGAAGAGUGGUUCAACUGACUAACUAAGAUCGAAUUUGGGAUUUUGCUACCGGUGCAACCAAAAGGGACAAUAUAUUAUACCAACACACUCAUCCAAAUGAAUAUUUUAGUGAAAAGUUAAGUGAGGCAAGACAAAAAUGGAGCACCUAGGAACAAGAACUAUACUCUUUGGUAAGAGCUUUAAAAGUUUAGGAACACUAUCUUUUAGGACAAAAAUUUAUUCUAUUCUUCGAUCAUUUAUCGCUCAAGUAUUUGCAAACAUAAAAGAACAUUAGUAGAAUGCAUGUUAGGUUUCUUUCUUUUAUUCAACAUUUUAACUUUAUAAUAAAACAUAAGGCCAGUAGUACCAAUGCGUAGUAGCGGAUGCUUUUAAUAGGAAAGCCAACCUACUUACUAUUCUAAAAACUCAAGUACUUUGCAUUUGAUUCUUUGCCUACUCUUUAUAUAAACGACUCCAAUUUUAAUCAAAUUUGGUUCUUUUGUGUUGAUCAUGUCAAUUGUAAUGACUUCAAUUUAAUUAACGAUUUUCUUUUUAAGGAUAAUCUUCUUUGUAUUCCUAGAACAUCUUUUCGUGAAGCCUUAAUUAAAGAGCUUCAUAACAAUGAUCUUGCAGGUCAUUUCAACAUAGACAAAACUUACCAAUUAUUGAGUGAUAGGUUUUAUUGGCCUCAACUUCACGAGGACAUUACAAAGACUAUUAAGCACUGUUUUACGUGCCAAACUGCCAAAGGACAACAACAGAAUACUGGACUGUACACCUUUACCUAUUCUAGAAGGCAUUUGGUAAGACUUGUCCAUGGAUUUUAUUCUAGGCCUUCUAAAAACUCAAAGGGGGUAUUAUUCCGUUCUUGUUAUAGUUGAUCGAUUUAGAAAAAUGUCUCACUUCUUACCUUAUAGGAAAAUAUCAGAUGCCGUUUAUAUUGCUAAUAUGUUUUUUAAAGAAGUGGUAUGUUUGCAUGGAAUUCUCAAGUCCAUGGUUUUUUACCGUGAUGUCAAGUUCCUAAGUCAUUUUUGAAAGGCACUUUGGAAACAAUUCAACACAAUUCUCAAGUUUAGCACUACUAGUCACUCCCAAAGCGAGGUUACUAACAUGAUGCUUCUUGCCAACAUAAUAUAAGGUGCAUCCGAGGAGAGAAACCUAAGCAAUGGGACCUUGUCCUAAGCUAAGCUGAAUUUGUUUAUAAUCAUAUGAAGAACUGAACAACAAGGAAGUCACCAUUUGAAAUUAUGUAUACUAAGUUACCUAGACUAACUGUUGAUCUUACAAUAUACCUUCCAAUGUUGAUCUUAGCUUCGAAGCUGAAAAUAUGGUGGAAAGAAUAACAAAGCUUCGUAAAGACGUAACCUCCCAAAUUAAGAAGAUGAACCAAGCAUUAAAAAGUCAAGCCGAUAAACAUCGAAUAUUUAAAUAAUUCAAGGAAUGAGACUUAGUAAUGUUACACCUUCGAAAGGCAAGACUACCGGCUGUAAAGUAUUGCAAAGUAUAGCCAAAGAAGAUAGGACCCUAUCCAAUAAUCAAGAGAUUUGGAGAUAAUGCAUACACGAUUGAUCUUCCUAUUUAGAUACACAUCAACCCUAUCUUCAAUGUGGGUGAUAUAUUUGAGUAUUUCCCUUCUGUCCAGCUACAUCUUUCAACAUAAAACUCAAGGACGAGUUUGCUCUUCUUAAGGGGGAGGAAUUUGAUGUAGUUAGCUAGUUACUGUGCUGUCAUGUUAUUUUAAAUAUGUUUAUCUCAUUAUAUGUUACUGUUAUAAUUAGAAGUUGAUGUAAUUCGUUGACUUUUGAGUUUUAGUAUAAAAACCCUUAGUUUGUCAUUCUGUGGUUUUAAAUAAAAAAACUCUAGAAGAAGAUUUUUAGUUUUUGUGUUUUGUGUCCAAGAACACAGACAGACACGAAACACAUCAGAUAGUCAAUUCUUUCUUGAUCAAACAUCUUGUUAAAAAAAUGUUGCAAUUUGUUGUUGUUGAUUUACAAGAGCUUCACAUUUGCCCCAAUCUUGGCUAUGUGCACUAUUUGGUCCUCCAACAUGAGUUUGUAAUUUUUCUUUUUUCUUCUAAUUUGAAAAUCCUUCACCAUAAAAUGGUCACGUCCUUAUUGUUCUUCAACUUCUGGUUUGAAUAAAUAGCAACAUAAGCAAUAGGCAACAUCUUUUGAAAUACUAUAUUCCAACCAAUUAGAAUAUUGAGUAAACCAAAUUGGAUCAAACCUUCUUGACUUUAACCCAAAUUUCUUCAAUGGAAAAAUAUGAUUUCGAGGUUGGCAGGGUCUUUUUUGUAGAUAUACUCUACGAACUUUGUCUGAAACAUUACAAUUGUAAUCAAGAAUUCUAAUUCUUAGACCAGGAUCUGCUCAUAAAUUCUCUAAUUUUACUUUAGUGAUGUAUGUCUUAUAACUAUUAUCAGUUUUCUUCAAAGGAGAUCCUAUCAAUUUUCUUUAUUUAGACUUCAAAUUAAAUCUACAACAACAUAACAUUGUAAUGAAAAUAAAUCAAGAAGAUAUUAAUAUAUAACAACAAUAACAUAACUUAAACAACCCAACAAGUUUACUCAUGAUCCACAAAUUAUUUCAAUAAUUAAUAAAAUAAUUAUAAAACAAAUGAACUAAUACAAAAAGUAAGAAUGAUUUGAAAUAUAAAAACCAACUACAUAAAAAUAAAAUAAAAAAAUUUAGAAAGAGAAGAAAAUAAAUUACAAAAGUUACCUCAUAAAUGGGAGAUAGAAAAAGGCACUAAGAAGUUGAAGAAGAUAUUUUAAAAUCAAACAAAAAAAAUUAAAAUUUAAAAAAGCUACAAGCGGAAAAAGAUUAAAAAGCUAAAAAAAGAUUAAGUUGAUGUUUCAUAAAACUAAUAAAAUAAUAAAAUGAAUGAAGUUGGAUAGCUUAGUAGUUUUAAUUUAAGUGGUGAAGAGUGUAUAAUUAUUAUUUUUUUGGGUGAAAAUUGAAUGAAGUUGGAUAGCUAGGUUUAAGAAUAUAUUAAUUAACACAACUAAAAGGGAAAAAAAAUUGUAGCAUGCAUUUCAACCGAACCAGUAAAUUAAAGAAAUAAAAAAUAAUAAUUUGGUAGUUGCUAAGGGCUCGUUUGCUAACGUUCUCGUUUCCUGUUUUCUGUUUUUAAGAAACGAAGGUGUUUGGUAACGUUCUCUAUUUCUCGUUCUAAAAAAAAGUAAAAAUGUUUCGCAUUUUAUAAGGUAUUAUUGAGAACAAAAAAAAAAAAGUAGUUUCUUUUGUUAUCGAUUCCAAUUAUUUCUAUUGAUUUACUUUUUCUUUUUCUCAAUUGUUUUUAUUGGUUUCUUUUUUCUUUUUCUCAAAUGUUUCUAUUAGUAGUUAAAUUAAUUUAAUUCAAUAUUUAAAAAAAAUGAAAAAGGAAGCCAAUUAUGUUUACUUUAACUGAUAUUUUCUCGAGUCAUUUUUUUUUUUUGAUAAAUUGCAUAUGAUAGUAUUUUGAGAAUAUGAUAUAACAAUUAUAGCACAUUGUUUUAGAAAUUUGCAAAUAUGACAAAAUUUUCACUUCUCCAUCUUAAAUUUGAUAUUAUUUCUAAACUACACUUCAAUGACUUAUUUAUCUUCCUAUGCCCUACUCAUUAUUUAUUUAUGUUUCCACUUUUUAAGACCCUAAUUAUUUGUUUAUUCUUAUACUAGAAAAAUCUUUUGUUAUUUUUGUCUUAAUCUUAAUUUUAAAAUAUCAAUAGUACAAUAAUUGUAAUAUGAAAUAUAAUAUAAUGGUUGUUGAUCGGAGUAGUUUAACUUCAUUUGUGAUUUUUUUUUUUUACUUUCUUCGAUAUGUAUUUUAAGUUGAAUUACAACCAAACUUCUCAAUGCAUGCACUGUAGAUAUAUUUACUCAAAAAUGGCAGUAGCAAGUAUGAUAUUGAGAAGUUUGAUGGUAAGGAAGAUUUUACCUUAUGGAAGGUCAAGAUCAAAGCCAUAAUCGGCCAGCAAAAGGCAUUAAAAGCCCUCACGAAUCCAGAAAAGCUACCUAAAACAAUGACUCAAGAAGACAAAGAAACUAUGGAGAAUGCAACCUAUGGUGCCAUAGUUUUAAGCCUAAGUGACAAUGUUCUUAGGGAGGUUAUUGGUGAAGAAACAACUUAUGGAAUAUGGACAAAACUGGAUGAGAUUUAUAAGUCCAAAGAUCUACCUAACCGUGCAUACGUAAGGGAAUGAUACGUCACCUUCAAGAUGGAUGACAACAAGUCUUUGACAAAAAGUCUUGGAGAAUUCAAGAAGUUGUCUUCAGAUUUCAAAGAAUUGGGAGACAAGAUUGGUGAUGAAAAUGAAUUGUUUAUUCUACUAAACUCACUUUCAGAAGAAUACAAAGAAGUAAAGAUGGCUCUCAAAUAUGGAAGACAAAAAAUCACCACAGAUGAUGUAAUUUUAGCAGUAAAAACUAGAUAAUUGUAACUUAAUUCACAGAAAGGAGAUCAAACAAAUGGUGAAGGGUUGUUCUUAAAAGGGAAGAGCAAAAUCAACUCAAAAGAACACUAGAAUCAGAAAAAUAAAUAAAAGCUUGAAUGCACAUUUUGCUACAAGAAGGGACAUCUCAGACAAGAUUGUUUCUUCCUAAAGAAAAAGUAAAAUCAAAAGAAAUAAAAAGAAAAACAGCAAGAAGAACCUAAGGCAGAAGCAUCAGUAGUAGAACAAGUCCCAUUUGUGUAUUUAGAUGCCUUAACUAUCUCAAAAAAUUCAAUUCAAACAGAAGGUAAUAAAGAUACUCAUGAUUGGGUACUUGAUUCAAGGUGUUCAUUGCAUAUGACACCAUUAAAGGGAUGAUUUACAACAAACAAAGUGUGGAAUGGAGGCCUAGUAUCAUGGGAAAUGACAAUGCUUGCAAGAUAGUAGACAUUAGAUAUGUUACACUUAAGUUCAAAGAGUAUACAUGGGAAAUGACAAUGCUUGCAAGAUAGUAGGCAUGUUCCAUCCUUGAAAAUAAAUCUAAUUUCCCUUGGCAUGUUAGACUCCAUAGGCUGUGAAUACAAGGACUCUGUUGGAAGGUUUGAAAUAUUAAAAGACUCCAAGGUUGUUCUUGCCUGUUUAAGAAUCAAUGGACUCUUUCUCAUCAAAGAAGUGUCCAUGAACCCUACUGCCCUAAUUGUUUCUAAUGAUAUGCUAACUGAAGGGAAUUUGUGGCAUAAAAGACUUUCCCAUAUAAGUGGAAAGGGAUUAAAAAUGUUGUCAGAACAGAGAAUUCUUCCUAAAGGAGUGGCUGAAAUGCUAUCUUUCUGUGAGCAUUGUGUAGUUGGCAAGUCUAUAAGACAAAGUAUUCAAAAGGCUGAUCACAACACCAAGAUCACAACACCAAAGCUAUCCUAGACUACAUUCAUUCUGACUUAUGGGGACCCUCACAAAUACCAUCUUAAAUAAUUCCAAAUAUUUCCUAACCUUUACUGAUGAUUACUCUAGAAAGAGUUGGGUUUAUUUUUUAAAGUCUAAAGACCAAACUCUAGGAAAAUUUAAAGAAUGAAAAACCAUGGUAGAAAAACAAACUUCUAAACAAGUUAAAUGUUUAAGAAAAAAUAAUGAUUUAGAAUUCAAUAACUUUUGUAAAGAAUAUGAAAUAGUGAGGCAUAGGACUAUUAGAUAUACCCCUCAACAAAAUGGUGUUGCUGAAAGGUUAAAUAGAACCAUAAUGGAUAGAGUUAGAUGUCAAAUGACUAAUGGUAUAAUUCCAUAAAAAAUUUGGACAUAAGUUGUUUCCUAUAUUGUUUACACCCUUAAUAGGUGCCCUCAUCACUCUACAAACUUCCUAACACCUAAAGAAAAAUGGUCUAAACAUCCUCCUAAUUUACAAAACCUUAGAAUCUUUGGUUGUAUAGGAUUUGUCCAUCAAAGUCAAGGGAAAUUAAAACCUAGAGCUAUAAAAUGCAUGUUUAUAGGUUUUACAGAGGAGUUGAAAGGGUUUAGAAUGUGACAUCCUAUAGAAAAAAGAUGUAUAACUAGUAGAGAUGUGGUUUUUAAGGAAGAUAUUAUGUUUGUGUUUGAUAAACCUAAUGAAACAUUUGAUCCAAAUUAUAAACUAAAUGAGAUUGAGGUGGAGCACCCACCAAACCAUGAAUCAAACAAACUUUCUCGAACCAUUGAGGAAGAAACAGAUUAAAGUAUCAAUCUGCUACCUACUCUAGAAGAAGUUACUCAAGAAGAAGAAGAUUUAUCAAACUAUUAUUUGGCCAUAGAUAGACAAAGAAGGACUAUUGUUCAUCCUUCUAGAUAUAGUAAAGCAUGUUGUGUAAACUUUGCCCUAAAUGAUGUGAAUAAUCAAAAUGAUGAUGAACCAAAAACUUUUGAUGAGGCAGUGAGUUGCCCUAAUGCUAGACACUGGAUAAAUGUCAUGAAUGAUGAAAUGGAAUCACUCACUAUCAAUAAUACAUGGACUUUGGUAACACUGCCUAGAAAUUGUAAGACGAUAUCUUGCAAAUGGAUCUAUAAACUUAAAGAAGGAGUUCCCGACCUUCAACCUCCUAGAUAUAAAGCUAGGCUUGUAGCCAAAGGCUUUACACAAAGGGAAGGAAUUGACUAUAACGAAAUAUUCUCGAUUGUAAAACAAACCUCCAUAAGAAUGCUCUUUUCAUUAUUUGUUCAAGAAUAUUUAGAACUUGAACAACUUGAACAACUUUAUGUUAAAACAACAUUCUUAUAUGGUGACUUGACAGAAGACAUAUACAUGAAUCAACCACAAUGAUACAUUGAAAAAGGUAAAGAAAAUCAAAUAUGUUAUCUUAAAAAAUCCAUCUAUGGUCUAAAACAAUCACCAAAAUGUUGGUACAAAAGGUUUGAUGAUUUCAUCUCUAAACUUGGUUUUAAUAAAAGUUUCUAUGAUAGUUGUGCAUUUAUAAAUUCAAAUUCCUAUUCCUCUAAGGUUUACUUACUCUUGUAUGCAGAUGAUAUGUUGCUUUCAUAAAAGUCAAAGUUUGAUAUUAAAAGAGUUUAGACAGCCUUGAAGGAAGAAUUUGAUAUUAAGGAACUUGGAGAAUCUAAGAGAAUUCUAGACAUUGACAUCAUAAGAGAAAGAACAAAGAGGCUUCUAACAAUUUACCAAAGUAACUAUUGUUAUAAGGUACUUAAAAGAUUUAAUAUGUUAGAUGCUAAGCAAGUGGUGGUUCCUCUUGCACAACAAUUCAAACUAUCAACGGCUAAAUAUCCAAAUCCAGAAGAUCCCAACCAUGUUAAAUACAUGACAAACAUCCCUUACUCACAAGUGAUAGGGAGCAUAAUGUACCUAAUGAUUUCUACCAACCCUGAUUUAUCUUACUUUUCUAGUUUAAUUAGCCUACAUGGCUAACCUACAAAAAAGGCAUUGGGAAGCAGCCAAAUGGGUCCUUAGGUACCUAAAGGGAUCUAUGAAUGCUCAACUAAUAUAUAAAAUAUGUCCUAAAGAACUGUUUAAGCUUUAUGGUUUUGUAGAUUCUGACUAUGUAGGAGAUUUGGACAGAAGAAUGUGACUAACAGGAUACUAUUUCCUAAUUGGAGGCAACCUACUAAACUGGAAAGCUUCACUACAACCUAUGAUGGUCCUAUCAUCUACUGAAAAGCUGAAUAUAUAGCUCUUUCAGAAGCUAUUAAGGAAGCUAUCUGGCUAAAGGGACUACGGAAGGACUUUGGCCUAUGACAAAAAUAUGUAAAGAUCUACUGUGAUAACCAAAGCACCAUUCAUCUGUUCAAGAAUCAACAGUAGAACAGUAGAACAAAGGACAUAAAUAUUAAAUUUCACUUCAUCAAAGAACAAAUUGAAAAACAAUAAGUGGAAGUGCUCAAGGUUCAUACCAGUGAAAAUGCAGCUGAUAUGUUGAUGAAGGUAGUCACUCGAUCGAAGUUCCUUAAGUGUCUUCAAACAAUCGAGUUCCUGGAAUCCGAGAAGGAGUGACUGCAUCAAAUGCUUUGGGAGUCAAGACAUGCACAAAUUUUUCACUCUAUAUCUUUUCAGGUGGAGAUUUGUGAGAAACUCUUACUAAAAAAGUUUCUCUUAUUAUAAAAGACAUAUAGCUAAAUCUCUUAGUCUUAACUUCUGGUGUAACUAGAAUCUUAAUAAAAAUGCUACCUAGAGUCUUAACUUCUGGUCUAACUAGAGUCUUAACUUUCGCUUUUUUUUUCCUCCACUUUUUAUAGCUUGUUAAUAAAAAUGCUAUGGUUUGAUGUUAUUAAAGGACACAUUUGUUGUAGUGAUCAAUAGUGUUACCAGGAUAAGGUACCCAACCUUAUCCCUAUACUAUAGACCCUUUAAGCUAGUCUUGAACAUUGAUCCUUGUAUGUUUUUACAUACUGUUCAAGAUUCAUUAAACAUCUUAGGAUGUUAGUUUAUUGGAUUUGGGUUAUUAAGAAAAAACUAAUAAUUUAAUAAAUAAUGGGAACUUGGUUGAUUUAUUCUAUCAUGGAGUAUUUGAAGCUGCACACUCACACGAUCUUAAUCAAGAGAUAGAAGUUGGACUUGCUUACUGUUAUUGUAUUAAAGCUUAUGAGAGAAAGCUUAGGCAACUCAAGAGACCUAUGAAGUAGGCUCAAGAAUAGUUCAAAGGAGUCAAGGAGAGAGCUCAAGAAGAGCAUCAUGCGGAAGAGUUUAAAGAACUUAGUGUGACUCAUGAGCAAGCUCAUAUGAUUCUACGAGAGAUCCCAAAAAGAGCUUAGUGAAGCCUGGGAAUGGAGCUCAUUUAAACUUAAGGGCAAGCCUCCUAAGAAGAGCUAUAGAAAGAAGAUUCAUAUGGGAGAGCCUAGUCUCCCUAAAAGGAGCUCACAAGUUGAGGAUAACCUACAAGGAAGUGCCUAACCUCUUAAGAAGGGCUCCUAGGAGGAGAUAGAGCUUAGUUAGAAGAGCCUAACCUCCUUAGAGGAGCCCACAAAAGGAAGAGUACCAAGAAUGGAGAGUAAACUUUGAGCAGUACUAAGGAGUUCUUAGAGGACCCAUAGAGAAAGACCUAUGAGCUAUUGAAUAUUGUGAAACCAUUCAAAUUCUGGAACUGACGAGUGUCAUAAAGAGAAUGUUAGAAGCAUUCAUGGGUGUGUUAUAUUAGUAGUAUUUGCGCAUUGAUUACUAACUCUAGAAAUUUAAGAGGGGCAAUUGUGAGCUCAAGCAUCAGUUAUGAAUCAUCAUACUAUAUAAACAACCAAAGUCUGGAAACUAUACAAUUUUCUCUACUAUUUAGUUACUUAGAUGCACAUAAAACUGACUUGAGCCGAAGUAUGUGUAUGGCUGGACUCCACACUUGCGCUUACCUUAUUUUUCUUACGCACUCGAUCUAAUCUUGCUGUAAAACAAAUUUUAAGGUUAAUCCACUUUUUGGCAACACAAGUAAUUCAUGUAUAUAAAAAGGCUUAAAACUGAGGGAACAAUUCUUUGUCUUUUAUAGAGUAUUUAUAUAGUAAUUCAAAUGAUCCCGUCCUUUGGUACAAAGUUUUAUUUUUUACCCACACUAAAAACAGUUUUUGAUGCAGAGUUGUGUUUUUCUAAUUUUAAAAGAUCAAAUUAAAUCUAUUUAUAUUUUCCACAAUUUAACUCAUUUACAAUCUAAAUUCCAUAUAAAAUAUAAAUUUGUUAGGUUAAUUUUCAUAAAUAGAACAAAGGUGGCAAAAUAUUUACGGUCCAUAGAAUAAUUUAAGAAAAGUCCAUUAAGACUGAUUAUUUUUUCAGAAUUCCAUAUUUGUCUAUACCUGUUCAUAACGAUUUUUCAAUUUUGAUUCUUCUUUUUUCCGGUUUUUUCUAUAUCAUUCUCUAUUCUCUCUUCUUUAUGACCUUCGAAAAUAUUCUUUCUGUUCAUCGUCUUUCUUCUCCUCUUCUGCAAUUUUUUUUCUUCUUUUCAUCGUCUUUUUCUCUUCUUCUACAGUUUUUUUUUCAAAUCGUUAUUUGAUUCAAGAUCGUGUACCAAGUAUACGAUAUCUUUUUAAUUUUUUUUCAAAUUCUUAUUUGGUUGUUUAGAUUGUUUGACAAAUAUAAAAGAUCGUGAAAGAAAUCGCUGAGAUAUUGGAUAGUCAAAAUCUAAACGAUCGUGUAUAGCCAAAUUUAAACACCAAGGAAUCUUUAAAAAAAUUGUUUGGAUUUGGUUUCCCAAAUUUAAACAAUCAAAACUAAACAUUCGUGUACAAAAUAGCCAAAUUUAAAUGAUCGUCUACCAAAGAAUCUUUAAAAAAAUUGUUUAGAUUUGGCUGUCCAAAUUUAACCAACAGUCUACCAAAGAAUCUUAAAAAAAUAAUCAUUUAGAUUUGGCUGCCCAAAUUUAAAUGAUCGUCUACCAAAUUUCAACGAUCGUGUAAAAAAUAGACAAAAUUUAAAUGAUCGUGUAAAAAAAUAGCCAAAAUAGCUAAAAUUAAACGAUCGUCUACCAAAUAUAAAUGAUCUUUUUCCAAAAAUCUUGAAAUACAAUGGUUGAAAUUUGACAACCCAAAUUUAAACGAUCAAUCUAAACGAUCGUAUAAAAAAAUAUAUUAAAAAAUCGUUUAAGUUUAGAUUUGAUCGUUUAUAUUUGGAAAGCAAUCAAAUCCUAAACAAUAUUCUUCCAAAUAUUAAACGAUGAUUUUCCAAAUAUACUACGCGCGUUGGUUGCCAAUUAAUCGGGGACAUUUUUAGAAUUUCUAUUGUGGGGCUAUGGACCUUUUUUGUUUUCGAAAUUGUUCUAUAUUGUGCAAAUAUUUUGCCAGUUUGUUCUAUUUUUUAAAAGACCCCAAUUUGUUAUUAUAUUGUCGUUGGAAUUUUGGUACAAAUGACACCUCUUUUAGUGUUGAAAAUGAAAUUUGAUGUUUUGUUUGAAAUCAAUUAAAAUUUAAUCUUUUUUUUGGUUGACGCAAGAAUACCAUGAAAUAAUUUAGAAGAAACAAUUGAAGGCUUGAACAUGGUCAAGGGCUGAUGAGAAAAAUGAUGAUCUCGUUUCUUCCUUUCGUCUCUCGCUUCUUCGUUUUUUUUAAUCAAAUCAGCUUCAUGCUCUCCUUCCAAUUCUUCUUCCUGCGGCUUGAUUCUUGGUCUCGCUCAUUGAUUUAACUCUGUAUUGUAGAGAGAAGAUAAGUAGUGAACAAUGGAAAAGAAGUUAGAAUAUUAAAGAAAAUGUAGAAACGAGCAAGAAAAAGGAACAAAAGAAGAGGAAGCAAGAAUAUAAUCCCGAUGAUUUUGGUAAUUUCAAAAGGGAAUGAUGUAAGCAAAAUGUAAAAAAAGAAAACCUUUAUUUUCAAAUUCCUGCGUGAACUUGUAUUUUAACAUGCAUAGCCUGUUGGAUCUAAGGAAAUUUUUGUUAGCAAUAGCUGUUUGUAUUAAUAAUUAAUACACAAUGCAAUUGGGGUCAAUUUUCAAAAAGAAUUUUGUUAAAAGAAAAAAUUAUCAGUUCUGAAAACACUUUUAAAAUUAGAAAAAAAAUGAAAAACUAAAGUAAGAAAUCAAACAAAUCAUUUUCCUACGAUCUAAACAUUAAAAACAAAAAUUAAUAAUCCCUCAAAGGUUGGAGCCAAUAAAUGUGUAAGAAAAGAGGCUUAUCUAAGAGUAGUUUAUAAUGCGAAUUAAAAGUCAACAUCAAAUUGGACCACAAUCAUAAACACCUCUCACAACACAAUAAAUAAGUAUCUGUUCGAUAGUUUAGUGAUUGAAAACUCAAAACAAGUGGAUAUAUAAGAAUUAUUCAACUUUCAUUUAUGAAUGCAUGUUGAGAUUUCUUUUAUUAGUAUUUUACAACUUUUUUUUUUUUUAUCAACUUGUAACUAGCUAAUUUAUUAUAUUCACAUUUGAUUAAAAUAGUAUAUAUAUAUAAAUUGAGUCGUUCACGAGAACAUGGAUAUCAAAAAAUAUAAUAUUCACUAUUUAUAGACAAUUUGACAUGUAUGAGGUGGAUUAUAUGAACUCUAGAUUAAAGGUUAUUAUCUUUCAGACACAUGACAAUGUAGAUGAUAUAUGGAGGGAGUGACAUAUGACAUUUUGAUACUAAGGGUGCAUUUGGAGGAGGAAAAGACACUAGUACAAAAGUGGUCUACGACGACAGUUAUUUACUGUCGUAAACGAAUUUUGCGACAGUUAUUUUCAAUCAUAGAAGCGGGAGUCAUGGAAAGUCCUUCGACGACAGUGUUCCAAAACUGUCGCAAUAGGUUAUUUUAUGACAUAAUAAAUGUCGUUAAUCAACAUUCAACGACUUCAAAUAACUGUCAUAUUCUAUUUUAUGAUAGUUAAUAACUAUCAUCAUUUCUUUAUUAACGACAGUUAAAUAAAUGUCACGAAUUCAUUUAUUGUGACAUUUAUUAAUUGUCAUGAAUAUGUUAUUCGCGACAGUUUUUUUUUAAAAAUGUCAUUGUUUAGUUAUUGACAACAUUUUUUUUCCGGUUAACGAUUGUGCAAUCGUGACAGUUUUUUCGAUAACAUUAAAUGUCAUUGUUUUGCUAUUGACGACAUUUUUUUGCAGUCAAAUAUAUUGCAAUCGUGACAGUUUUUUUUGAAAAAAAAUUGUCAUUGUUUAUCUAUUGACGACAUGUUAUUCCAGUCACAUAUAGAGCAAUCGUGACAAUUUAUUUUGUUAAAUAACUGUCGUCGUUCUUCAAUUUACAACAAGUAAUAACUAUCACAAAUUCGUUUAUUACGACAAAUUUGAAUUUAUAUAAGUUUCACACCAAUGUACAAAAAAAUAGCCAACACUUUAAUAUAUAUACACUAUAAUACGAUUUAUAAUAUUUGUACAUCUUAAUACAAGUUUCAAUAAUCCACAUGUACAGAAUCCUAGCCCUUAAUCAAAAAAUAUUUUAAAUAGCAUUAGAAUACAUCUAACAAGAUUUUCUGCAGAAGCAUAAACGACCAACCGAGAAUGUUCGUCUCUGGAAAUGUUCUUUGAAAGAAAACUCAUGAAGUUGUCGACUCCAGUUGAACCUACAAAGACAACAUGAAUAUAAGUAUCCAUAACACAUACGUACAAUCAAUGAGUAACUAAAUCAAUGUCUCAACAAAAUACAGAACACAAACAAGAACUUCAACACUUGAUUCCAUGAAAUGAAAAGAAGCAUGUGGAUUUAAAAUUGAAAAAUGGAACACUUGAUUCCAUGAAAUGAAAAGAAGCAUGUGAGGACUACAUUAGGCAAACACAGCAAACAACAAGUUGAAAAAUGGAAGAAAAAACCUGUGGAUUUAAAGUUGCCUUGGAAAGAUGGGUAGUUUUGGGUGAUUCGUUUGCGUUGCAUGAAGAUAAAUGGACUUCUCUGCUUGGUCUUGAUCUUUUGUUGGUAUAUUUUCUAAAUUUCUUUAUAAGGGUAUAUUCAAGAGAUGAUAUGCUUAGUUUGGUUUUAGAAUUGGCUUAUCAAAGAUAGUCGGUUGAAGUGGAAAUAAUAGUUUUUGAGCAAAUCCUGUAUUGUGAAGUGAUGCAGAGUUCUAGUGUGUUACUCAAGUAGUAGGAUCAACAAUUUUGGGUGUGUUGUGAAGUGUGUUGUGAUAUAACUAAUGCAAAUGUAAAUUCUCAGCUGUUUUUAUAACCCAAAUUUAAAAGAAUAGUGUGAAGAAGUGUAAUCCCAAAUUAUCAAAAAGUUGGACAAUCAAUCUAACCUGGUUUGGCGAUACAUAAAGUGGGUUCUCAUAUAGGGUAGGACCUCCAAAACUGCCACCAAAUAUCUUGAUUGGAUUCAAACAGAAUCGUGGGCCAACCUGUCAAAUGCAAUUAUUUGAAGUCCGUGAAAAAAAUUGUGAAAACCCACUUAUAAACUAAACAGGAAGUGGAAUUUGAAUAACCUCAAUGAGUGUCAUUUUAUCAAGUCCUCCUCGAGCGACUUUAUCUGAUUCAUUAUGUGGAACAGAUAUCUGAUCACACCAAACAAAGAAGACAAGCACCAUAUCAUUAAAUAAUAGGUUGGGGAAUAGGUCACACCCACACAAAUCUCAAACAAGAACAAAGAUACCAACAGUUGAUGGAAAAUUGAACAUGUAAGUUUAAAGGAUAACAAUCAAUUAUAUGGAAAUGUAUACAGUGAACUAGAAAAACAAUGAAAUCAUUGACAAAAACAAUGAAAUCAUUGACAUAAGAAAGAAAAAUAGCAAGAUCCCCAACUAGGACUCCUAAAAACUAUUCCCCAAAAUCUGCUUAAUCUCAAACUCUUCAAAUCAAUUAAUUUUUUGCCAUGCCAAAUUCCUUUCCUAAUGACGAUUGUAUGCCUCAUAUCUUAAGGACGACACUUCUGACAUUUAUCCAUAUAUACCUUAACGUACUUCAUUAAAAACACGCAUUGUUCCUCAGGUGGUGUUGCUAACGGAGUGAUGGUUAUAAAUAAAGCAUGAUCAUGGUUAGUAUUAAAUUCUGUAGCAAGUAGGAAAUAAAUAAAGCAUACCUGGUAAUUCCAGAACCAGAUAUGGUCAUCAACAAUAGAGAAAACAAAUACAUGAUCAUGGUACGGUUUAGAAUGUCGAUGCUCCUUAGGAGUUCCAAAAAUCUGAGAGAAAAACACAUUGGUGAGAUAAAAGUAUGUCAUGCAAAACAAGAGUUAAUAGCAAUCGUUUUAAAAAAUCCCAUUAUUUGGAGAAGCAGCAAGGAUCUACAUACUUUUCACAACAUAGUAAAUAUGCAUAUGUGAAAUCAGAAAUUAAUAAAGGCAGCAUGGAAAGAGAAUAAUAGUGGUGAGGCACCGGCAUUUUAGAAUGGGCACAAGUAUUCAUUAACCAUAUUCUUAUGCCAUGAUAUUACAUGAAAGAAGUGCAUUAUGAAUAUCUUUUAUUUUUCUUUCCAAAUAAGAAAAAACUGAAAGAAGCUACUUCGACUACAGUCAUGCAGACCAUUUUAUCAAUUCAAUACGAUGUUAGCUUUGGAUUGAAGGAGCAAGGAAAUGAGCAAAAAAUGCGUUUAAUGAAGAAAGACAAGGAAAUUGACAUUUGCCUCAUACAUUGAUCCACGAGUAAGAAUGAAAAAUCAUUUCAACAUUCAAAAAUUAAUUGUUAAAGACAAAACUUUGCCAUUGGUACCUGAAUAAUCAUUUCCUUCAGAAGUUUCCAGUGGACAUCUUUAUCAAAAUUUGAUGAAAAUGUCAAAAUUGGACGGGAACCUUUCAGAUGGUUCCCUGUAAGCUUCAAUUCUUCCAUUGUAUGCACUGAAAGCAAAAAAAAAAAAAAAAAAAAAAAAAAAAUGGACAAGUAAGAAAACUUCAUUUAAUAAAGAAAUCAAAUAAAAUUUUAGUAACCAGUAAUAAAAUUUGAAUACAAGUUAAAAUUACUGGCAUUAACUAAAAACUUCAAUGAAACAUUUUGGACUUAAAGAAGAGCAGAAACAGUAAUGGUUAAUCAGUGGGCAAGUGAUAGCCAUUAGGAUAGAACUCAAAUAUUUUUCUCACAGGAAAAAACUUUCAAAGGCAGUUACCAUCCGUAAUCCAGCAAUGAAGUGUACGCCCAUAUCCAGAAUGAAACCCCUCUGACACAAGACAUAUGUUGUCAAUGAAAGAUAACAUUUAAGAAUACAUCAUGGGGAUAAAAAGAACAAAAAGAGAGAGAGAGAUAACAUAGAUAUAAAUGUAGAGGUCUUGUUAUUGGGCAAUCCAUUAUACAAUAGUUCCAUCUAUAAUAAGAACAUCAUAUUCUUCCAUGAAAAAGUGUAAAAGUGGCAAUCAUGAAUCAUGAUUUGAUGGGAAAAAUGAAAACAACAUAGAUAAUAUUUAAAAUUUGUGUUAUGGUUGUUUACUAGAAGAACACUUACAGCGAAGUCCCGCCGCCAAGAGCUUGAGAAGUAGGGGUUCGAACUAUUCAUUGAUCCUUCAACAAUCACUUGGACGCUCAUCAUAUCCCCAACGUCAGCAAUUAAGUUUUUGCACUGCAAAACAAUAAAGAGCAUUUUGCCGAAGUACUAGAAAGAAUAAAAAAACAAGAAUAAAAAAUAAUCUAAAAAAAGUACCUCAACAAAUGCAUAUUCCAACUCGCUUGUGGCUGCAUUACGACCAUAUUGCCAAUUUAGAAAUUGCUCUUUGUAAUAUCUUCAACUUAGACCCAAGCCAUUUUGAAUGCAACUUUUUCAGUGUACGUAAAAUGACUUUAUGGGGUUCAUGGUUGAUGAUAUUGAUUUGGGUUUUUCUUUCCUUUUUUUCCUUUGCUAAAAAAGGUUAAGAUAAGAGAGCCACUACCUUCAACUUAAUAUAACUUAUAAGAUGAAAUAAUUUUUCUCUGUGAUCUAUAAAGUUGCAUUAUUUAUAUCCUAUGUCUCAACUGGUCCAUUAGAACUUUCAUUGUCAUAUCAGUUUCAUAAAUAGUGGUAAUAGGAAGACAACAUCUAGUCUCGAUAAAAGUGAUAUACAUUGGGAUCUAUACUAUGGGCAAUUAGAAUUUAUACUUCCAGAUCAAUAUUCUCAUUUCUCAAGAGAGAGACUAUUGGGAUCAUAAAAUAAUACUAACAGAAAAUCUGGCACUUGGCAUGCAUCUUUGGGAAAAAUAUAUUAGGUAAUGAACCACCAGGAACAAUGCUUGACACCGCUAAGUGAUCCAUGUUGGGGGAGAACCAUAAAGAGGAUCUCAAUUGAAAAGAAUUAUGUCAAAUCUGUGAAUCUAACCUUUUACAAAUGGAUCUUUUCAAAAGAGUUUACAACAAACUUUACCUUUAAAAGGAGUUUGAUAAAGGACUUCAAGCGUGAAAGUCCAAAAUCACAAACCUAAAUAAAAUACCACCAGAUAUGUACCACAUUAAUUGAUCAAAGCAAACACACACACUAGAGAGAGGGAGUAGGAAAAUGGGAAGGAACUAGCACAAUCACUAAGAACAUGAUUUAAGUAUCAACAAAAAGUCAAUAUUCUCCAAGCAAAAACAUGAUAACUAAUCAUAAAGAAUUAUGAUUAUGUUUUAACUAAUCAAAAUUUUAUUCAAAGGGUCUUAUCCCCUACCUCAAAAGAAAGUUAACUAAUAAAAUUAGAACCAUUAAAAUAAAAUCUAGUUCACCAGGAUUCCACUAAAAUAACAUUCUAAAAUGAUUUCCUCCUAUGUACAUUCAAUAAUCAAGAUUUCCUCCCAUGGGCAUUUCAUCAAACAAUUGGUGGGCAACACAAAAGAAAGAAUAUUCAUUUACUUAGUGGCAGCCAGAAAUCUAGAAAAAUUAAGGAAUAAAUACAAAAAUUUGUGAAGAACAUAUCUUAGAUGCAAUGUUGAGAAUUGAGUUUCAAGUUUAAUUGAAAAAAUCGGCAGGAGCAAGAACUCGAUUCUUCUUAAAUUUCGACCAUGGGAUUUUGUAUCCAGAAACCACUUUGCAAUCUAGCAAAUAGCCUAAAGCUUUAUUCAAAUGCAAUCUAGCAAAUAGCCUAAAGCUUUAUUCAAGUAAUAAUAAGGGAUGAAGAAAUUAUAAUUGCCUUUUGGAAAUAAGGAUAAGAGGUGGAACGAAUCUGAGAAAGGCGAGAUUUGGAGGCUUCAAUGGUAGACUCCAAAGAGUGGUCGUAGCCCGUUCGUCGUGUAGUAGAAGAGGUACAAGCGGCGUUGGAGUGGGGAGAUGACCACGAGGGGGCAGUGCCGAUGAUGGACCUCGUCGUCGUCUGGAGAAGGGAGUUCAAGGAGUUCGGAGAUUGGGAGGCGAAAGGGAAGAAAUCUGAAAGGGGAGGCGAAAAGGGAGAAAGGGGAGAAAGUAGAAAGGGGAGGCAAAAGGGGAGAAAGACGAAAGAAAGGGGAAAGGGGAGAAGGGAAUAAGUUAAAAAUCCCUAAAAAAGUUAUUAUUUUUUUAUAUUAAAUAUAUUAUUUUAUUAUUAUUUUAUUUCUAUUUUAUGACAUCAAAUAACUGUCGUGAAAAAUAUUUUCCGAAAAUUUCCGUCUUUUCCCGCCAAAAACGCGUUUUUUCCCUUUCGUGACAUUUUUUUUUCCUCCAUCUAUUUUGUGAUAUAAAUAAAUGUCAUAGUAGAGGGUUUUUCUUCUAGUGAGAGUUAUAAAGGAAAAUGAUUAUGAUAGUCCUAAGCUGCUUAUGAUAAUCCAAGUAUUAUAAAAUAAUAUUUAUUUGGGGUUAAGGUUAUUAUUGGUAGAAUUAUGGUAACAUGUGUUUGGGAGAAGAAAUACGAAUGGUAGUGUUAUGAUAGUAUGUAUUUGGAAGAAUGAUUAUUGUUGUAGUAUUAUGAUAAUAUACGUCUAGGGGAAGAGUUUUGAUUGCAGUGUUAUUAUAACAUGUGUUUGGUCGAAGGGUUAUAAGUGUAAUACAAUGAAAAGAUGUAGGAAAAUUUGUAGGAUUAUGAGAAGAUAAAGUAGAAAAAUUUGUAGGGUUAUUUAACCCUAAUUUCCAAUUUUACAAACAACCAAGACCUUUUUUCUAAUCUCUUGACUCUCUAUCCCAAACACAGCCUAAGUAUAAUGAAGUUCUGAUAAAUUUAAUAAUAUUAAUAUUAUAAACAUGAUUCUAGGAAUUUUAACAAUAAAAAAUAUUAGAGAAAUAAUAGAUCAAACUCAAAAUUAUUCAACAACUAAUGGCCGUGGCUAUAAACAUAAAAAAUUUAGUGUGGGUUAUAAAAACGGAUUAUUGUUUAAUGUCAUAAUUAAUAAUUAUUGGGAGACUAAACUAAUCUGGUUUGCUUAGUUAAAUUGAAAAUUUUGAAAACAAAGUAUGCACAUCCUAUGCGAAUGUUUAUAAGACCGAGUCGAAUCAGGGCUUAGUUUAAUUAUCAUUAAGGUAUUAUAAUGUUGUUCAAAAGGUUCAUGCAUGGUUCAAAUAUUUCACAUCCUUGCACGUCCUUGACCAAGUAAAAUGAAAAAAAAUAUAUAUAUUAGAGAACCGAUAAUUAGAUAUUGGUUUUAUUUUGUUUUUAAAAAGUAUUUGAAUCUUAUAUUUGUCUAUAUACCUCAACGUUGUUGUACACAGACUCUUGGAUAAAACGUGAAGGAUCAUUCACAAUUAUUAAUAUUAUUAGAGAACAAUAGAGUUAUAUAAAAGGGGCUCUUCCAAAAAUAGCAAAAAGAAAAUUACGAUAACAUGACUCAUCAUUACAUAUUUUAAAUUGUAAAAGUAGAAAAUUUAAGAGCCGGUAAUCUUAUAUUUUAUGAUUACCGUCUGAUAGCUCUCUAAUAGUCCUAUAACUACCGUCUGAUAGUUGUCUGAUAGCUCUCUAAUAGUCCUAUAACUACCGUAUGAUAGUUGUCUGAUAUCAUUAAUUUGAUAUAUUUACAAUAUGCAAAAAAUAGUUGUUAUAAGCUAUUUUUUUCAAAUGUUUUUGCCAUUUGAUGCAAUUUUCCUACUUAAAAUUUGUUUAAAGUAUUUUGUAUUGUUAUUGCACAUUAAAAUUUUCCUUACUAAUUCUAAACAAUACAUUUGAAAUCAAUUAAAAAGAGAAAAUGAUAUUCAUAUAUAUUGCAAUGAAAAGUAUUAGUUAAACAAUAUAUUGGCACACGGUGUCCCUUUUCGCUACUAUUCAUAUGUUAAUAGUUAUUUUUUAUUUUAUGAAUAUUAUUUUUUCUCUUGUCUUUGAGUAAUGUGUUUUCAUUUGUUUAGCUAGAUUCCGUAUCUUUCCAUUAUGGUUCAAUUUAAACACACAUUUAGUUAUAUUUACAAAAUCAAACCAAAUAAUACAAAUUGUAUGACUUUUAACUUUCCUUCCUUCUUUUUUUAUUGACAAGUUGUUUUUUUUCAAGAAAGACCAACUAGAGUGGAAGGGAAAUUAGCAAUCACUUAAUAUUUUACCAUUAAAAUUAUUUAGUUUGAAAAUUUCUAUAUAAUUAUAGAGAAAAUUCAAACUCAAGCCGACCAAAAGCCAAUGAUUCCUACCAUCAAACCAGUUCUGUUCGAUAAGUAGAGAAUUCAAUGUUCGAAAACUACAGAUAUCAAAUUUAUCCAUUGAAUUGUACAAAGUAUCGUUCUUAGAAUGGUGAGUCAACAGUAAAGGAAUUGAGUUUCUGGUAGAAGCUAGAAGCUAGUGUGUGAGGGUCAUGAUUUGGAAUUUAAUCUAAGAUGGUAAUGACUUACCUUCGUAAAGAUUCUUUAACAUUAUUAGCUUGUAAGCGUCUUGAAUGAAUGUCUUGAAGAACAACGAUCUUCCCAUUUUAUAGGAAGGAAAAACUUCAAAAUGGACAAGAAAAAGGAUUUUCCGAUUAAAAGAUCUUUUCGGUAACAAAUCUUGUUGAUGAAGAAACUUAAAAUAUCUUCUAAAAAUAACCUCUUAUGAGAGGAAGAGACAUCAACUAAAGGAUCAAUAAAAAUCCCUAAAAUCUUGAAAGAUAAUUUUCCUUUUUAAAAUAAACUAAUAAAAAGAAACUAAAUAAACUUUUUUUGUAAACCCCGAAUCCUGAGUCUUUAAGGAAUUCAUUAACUUUCAAAACUUCCAAGGAGUUGAAGGAUUUACUUAGGAGAAUUAGAAAAUGAAUUUGUAUUGAUUUUUUUUAGUAUUUAUGGUCGUAUCGAAGAGCUCGUAAAAAGCUAUUUAAGACAAGUAUAGUGACUUGGACAAAAAUAAAAUUAUAUUUUAUGACUAGGUUAAAAAGGAAAUUUUAGUAAUAUUUUCCAAAUUUCAUAGGAUGCACGUCGUUAUUGAAGUGUCAUGUUUGGAGAGUCAUGAAAACUUCAAUUGAAAAGGGAAGGAAAUUGUCAAAGGAAUAGAUUUGGUGGUAAAAAGAAGUAGGCAUGUCAUGACAAGAAAAUUGUGUUACUAUUCAGUAAGAGGUAGAAGGGAAGGCUUGAGUCAUCCAAGCUGUGAUGUAAAGAGGUUAGUAGGUGGUGUCAAGUACCUAAGUGGUGACAAGCAUUAGCCAAGUGAUAACUUGCAAAAACACAAGUUAUUAUAGCCUCUUUUAUUAGAAUAACGAGGCCAAAACACAUAAGAAGAGAAUCAAAACGAGUAACUCUUAUAUUACAAAUUCAUAAGUAUUCAUAACUACACUUUACAUAAUCAUUAUGUCAUUUUACGUGGUUUUCAGUAUCUAAACACAUGUCAAUAAACAAAAGAAGAAGUUAGCAAAUUGCAGAGUCUCUCAUGAGAAGAAUAGACGAGCAGACCAAAUCACAAUGCGAGAAGCGGUUUAAAGAAAAUAAAAAAUAUUUUCUUUUUUUCAAUUCUUUUGUGUAUUAUAAUUACGCCUUAUGUAAUUUACAUUCCUUUGCACUUGUGUUCCUCUUAGUAUAAGUAUAACUUUUGAUACAAUUCUUUGGUUUCAGCCUUUCUUGUCGCAAGCUUGGCUCCCUGCAUUUUAGUAUUCUAAUUUUUCUCUGUUUCAAUGAUACUUCAAUAAAGUAAAUUAUGCGAAAUAAGGUUUCAUUCGUUAUUCGGGCGUUUAACUUGUUAAGGAAACUUAUUUAGGAAAUAUUUCUAUAGUUUAUUAUGCGAGCAAGCUUUACCUCAAACUGCUUUUGUAAUCUUUUUUCCGCGAAUAGUCUUAUCAUUCACAUUUAGCAAUGAGAACAUCGUGAAUCUCUAAAUUUUGGGGUGUGCGAGGUUCUCGCUAAAGCUUUUGAAAAAUUGUUGUAAAAUCCUCCUGGGCAUCUUUGAAAUAUAAGAGGUUUUAACAAAAGUUAAAUCUUCGCUAAAAAUUUAAAAAAAUAUGUAUUUAUUUAUUUAAUAUAAAUAACAACUCAUAUGUUGCCUCCUUAGCAAAAAUAAGAAACAUAGCUUCAAAAGUAAAAAUUAGAAAGUUGAGUAAUAAAAGGCGAUAAGGGUUACAGUUGCAGAGAUAAAUGGACUCAAAGAGUGUCUAUGAUUUUCCACUCAACUCCAAUCCACAAAUAAAAAGCUUAAUCAAAAGUAUUCUUUUGCCGAAUACAAGGAUUCAAAAAUUUUAAAAAAAUUUAGCAAUUUUUUAUUCUAAAAUAAGAUCUACUAUGGGGAAUGAACAAAGGUAUUUUGAGUAUUAAAUUUGUCACGUUCUAAACAUAGAAAUAUUUUUCGUCGCAAGAAUUACGUGAUGAGAGUAAACCCUAAAUAAUGAAUAAAACUUGCUUGUAUUUUGAGAAGUUUAGAAAUGCAAAGAGGAAGGUAAGUCUUUAAGGAGGAAUGGUGCUUGAGAACAAGCAUAAUACAGACUGAUGCUUGAGGAUAAACAUUAUUCUAAAUUUGAGGGUGUGAUAACUUGUAGAAAUACAAGUUAUUAUAGCCUUUUUUAUUAGAAUAACGAGGUCAAAACGCAUAAGAAGAGGAUCAAAACGAGUAACUUAUAUUGCAAAUUUAUAAAUAUUCAGAAAUACACUUUACAUAAGUAUUAUGUUUGUUUUACGCGGUUUUUAAUAUCUAAAUGCAGGUCUAUAAAGAAAAGAAGAAGUUAGCAAAUCGCAAAGUCUUUGGAGAGAAGAAUAGUCGACAAGACCAAAUCACAACUUGAGAAGCAGUUUGCUAAACGACGGAAAUGGUAGUUAGAGAUAAAGUGACAAGUCACAGAUAGCUUUUAGCAUACAACGCUGACAUGUUUAGAAGAAUAGAAAUUUUCCCACCAAAAUGCUACCUAUAAAAGAACUCCAUCCCUACCAAGAAAACAAUGACUAGACGUCUAAAUAGACCAACCAAAGGCCCAAAGGCCUAAAUAGGCCUAACCCUAGAGAGUGGCAGAAAUAAAUAGCUUUUCUGCGGUCUGUAAAAGUCCUUUUUCUUCGAUUAGUUGUAAAAGUUAGAGCUUGGCUCCUAAGAAGGGAAGAAUCCAUACUCCCUAUAUCCCCUAACUUGUAAUAUUUUUCAUUAUCUUUUCUCUCCAUUUUUAUACUUUUUUGUAAUAUAUGUUGUUCAUAUUGUACAAUGACCGAAGGCCUACAUUCUUCAAUAUAUAUUACAUGUUUAUCGUUCAGUUCGUCACUUCUUGACUUUCCACUAGUCAAUGAGUUGUUAGUAGUUUAGGAUUGUGAAUAGUUCUUAAUAAGAAAUAUAACUUAUAAUUCUUGUCAAGUUAGUUGAGCUAUGUUCAUUGUUUGGUCAGCGUCAAUCGUCAACUACCCGAGAGGGCAAGGAACAAGGAUAAUGUUAACGCGCGUAAGGAGGAGUUUGGAGACAAACUCUACCUUGCGAGAUAAGUUCUACCAUUUGAGUCCUGAAAGGCGAACAAGUAUAGACAAUAGGUGUUGAGAGGUUGUUGUUCUUAAUUGCAAAGUUCUAUAAGUAUUAUAAGUGAAUUCUUCUAGAUAUAUCUCGCCUAAUCAAGCUUAGUCACUUGCAUCUCGAAAGGUGAGCAAGUGUGGUGUCUAAAGACUUUGAGAGAAGCUCGCCUUAAUCAUAAAUUAGUUGAGCAAGUUAUAUCGCAUCAAGACUCUCGCAUUGCUUAAUCGCCUAAUAAUGCAUAGAUCUUUCUUUAUCUCUCUUCCUCACAUACAAGUUAGUCCGCAUCUCAAUUUCACAUCCAUCUAUUCUCAUUUACAGAUUCUCCAGGUGUACAUAAGUAAACAGUUCUGAUUCAUUUAUACGUUGCUUAAUUAAUUCUUUUAUACCGCCUAAUUGAUGAGUAGAUUCUAGAACUAAAUUUUGAUAGCAAUUCCCUGUGCUCGACUCUUAAUCACCUAAAUAAACAUAUUGCUUCACUUAUACUUAGACAAGUACUAGGAAAACUUGUACUCAACAAGGACUCAGUAGUUUCGUGAUAAAGAAGUACAUAAUGAGUACUUCGUAUACAAUCAUCAUGAUCAAUGACUUAUCGCAUAGAAUUACUCACCCCAGCAAUCAAGUUCUUCGCGUCGUUGGUUAACAAAACACGUGAGAGCAAGCACCAAGCAGAAUAUGAUGUGUAUGAAGGAUAGUACAAGGUGUAAAGUAACCAAGUAAGUGGUGUCAAGUGAUGGCCAUGCAACCAUGACGUGGAAAGGGAAAGUAGGAGGUGUCAUCACAAACGCAUGCAAGCAUCUCUAUAAAUAGUAACUGGUAACUUUUAAGAAGGAAUGCUACCAAUCUACUUGUGUCAUUUCCUUGUUUCCACUUGCUAUACCUCACAAAUUGAGUGUAGUUUGUAGUCUUGGGAUGCCAACCAUAUUGGAGUAAAGAAGGUUCAAGGUUCAAUUGAGAAAAGGGAGAAGGGUCAAUUUUUAGAGCAAUCUGAACAAGGUGCACUUCUGGAGAGCUAUAGAGCACAUAACUUAGAAUUUAGUGCUAAAAUUUUGGGAUAAUAUAUUUAAGACAACUAUAAGCAACUCUAUAGAAGGAAGGUUUGUCAUUUAUAUUAUGGAUUGUAAUUUAUUAGCCUCUAAAGUUGGAAGAAGGGUUCUAGGCGAGAACUCAGUUUCUGGGCAUGACAUAGGAAAGCCAAACAAUAGGGGCAUGCGCGUGCGGCACCAGGCACAUGACAUCAUGCAUGUCCAGUACCCAGCACAUAGGUCAUACAUGUGUGCGAGGUUUGCAUGUGACCAGGGCUAUGUGUUUGCACCAACAGCCCUCUGCCGCCUAUCAGCGCUUGUCAGCCACCUACCUACCACCCAUCAGUGCAUACCAGCCCCCCAGUUGCCCACCCUCAAGUGUCAUCCAAUGCCAAAGGGCUUUUUCUGGUCAUUUUUAAGUAAUAUUUUGAUAUUUUUAGGAUUAAAGGGAAUUAAAUAAAAUUAUUUCCCAUUAAUUCAGGUCAAGAGGAGAUCGUGCAAAUUUACAUGCCGAGGAUUUAAGCUACCAUCUGUGAGUGACACAAUGAUUUCUAAAUGAAAAUUCUAAAUUUAAUUUACAAGCUACCAUUUAAAUAUGUUUUGAAAUGAUUACUAAGCUUUAUAGAUUAUGCUAUUUGAUUUGCAAAGCAUGUUAUGAAAAGUACUUGAGUAUGCUUAAUUUGAAAAGACAUGUAUUUAUUAAUGAGAUUUGGAAGCAAUGAUUUAUGGGCAAUCUUGAGUUUAUGAGUUAAGAGUGUUUACUCUUUUAAAAGAUAAUUGAAAAGCGUGAGUUUAAUGAGAAUGGUUUUAAAGAGAAAAUCAUGGUAUUCUAUAUACUGAGUUCUCAAUGGUUAAUGUGCACAAUCUGGCGUAUGGAGCUUUGCUGACCACUUAGCCAGCUACUACCGAGAUUUGUCAGGAAAGUAAGACCAAAGGUGCGCUACUAUCUUGACCAAGAUUUGGCAAGAUGGAAAGACCAAAGGUGCUCUACUAUUCUAAUCGAAAUUGUAAAUUAGGCACGAUAGGUUGAGCUAGUUACUAUCGUAACUGAGUUUCCUAGGUAUAGAAUAUACAGAGAUAAAAGUUUAUUUGAAAGUCAGAAAGAAUUUAGCACAAGGAAGUUCUUAAGAUUUUAUUCUUAUGUCAAGCACUGUGAAUGAUUUGUGUAAAGUGUUAAAGUGUAUUUGUUUUAAAAGUAUGUUGUACAAAAUCAUCAGUCACAUAACUUUUUAGUUCACCCUUUCCAAAUGUUUUUCCCACUUUCCAAGUAGUGAUCGUGAUCCGAGAGCCUGACCGUUGUCUCCAAGUCUGUUGUGCAAUCUUGUUUAUACUUUUGUUGCUAUGGUCAGUUUUAGAUCUAUAUAUGUCAUGUACAUAAGUUUUUGUUUUAGGUUAGAUUAGUUAAGAUAUUUCUUUUGGGUUAAUGUGUUCUCUAUAAAGAAACGGCGUUUAGCCUAAACUUAUUUUGAAUUAAUGUAAAUAAGUUUGUUUCAAGUUUUUUUUAUCGUAGUAUCCACUGCAUAAGUUUUUGAUUUACUCAAGUUAUUUAGUGUUACAAAAGGUUUAGAAGUCAGGAUCAAUUGGUGCUAUUCAAAAGGGGAAUGAUGUUAAUUGACUUAAGUGAAAAACAUAAUUUACACUCGGGCGCGUAAGGUGCAUGUGCGUCUCCCAAAAAGAAAAAAAUUAUCACAUUUCACGAUCAACGGUGGUUUCGAAUGUGGUUUUCGGUGGUCUUCUUUAGUUAUUUUAUCAUCUUCUGUCUGAGUAGGUUCAUUUUGAUUCGGGUUUCAAUUCAUUGUGUAGUAUUGGAUCUACUUGAAAUGGCCAUCAAAUUGAAAUCAAUUUUGAUUUCAAAUAAUCCUUUAGUUUAUUUUCUCUCAGAUGGUUUUAGUGCAAGUGUAGCCGGUAAAUCCUCCGAGCCUCUUUAUGCUAAAAUUUCUAGUGGAUUUCAAAGGCAAUUGUGCUAUUGGUGUCUUAUUUUUCUUGGCCAAAACUGUCUUCAGUUGCUUACGACACCAGUGAGGUUAAAUAAUCCUAAAUCCUCGAUCAAUGGUGAGAUAAUGAAAAUGUUUGAGUGCAGUGAAGUGACGACAGUGAAGCAACGAGCUUUGACGGGCCUAAAUGUGUGCACAACAUGGUUGUCAAAGAUCGGAGAGUAGCGGCAGAAAGCGGUGACCUAAAAAUUUGUCAAUGUCAAAACGAUCUAAGUUGAAUAACCGAUCAGGUGAACUAGGAGAGAACCGCAUCUCCGGGCUUUCUAAAAAAAAUCAUAAAUUUGUUGUUGGGCUGCCAAACAAAAUUGAUGAUGGGACAAACAUUAAUGGGCCUUAUGGUGGUGGGCUUAAGAACUAUAGAACUACAUGUGGGCUGGCAAAUUGGUAUGGCAGAUGGGCAAUCGGAUGGAAUUUUUUUUUAUAAAAUUUCAAUGGGAUCGGUUGGUAAUUUGGAAGGACGGGUUGAUUCAAGUAAGCAAAAAAGGUUGCCGCAUUUAGAUAUUAGCGGUUUGAAGUCUUCAUGGGCUUCUCUAUUUGGCUCAUCAAGUGGAAAUUCACUACUUUAUACACAUGCUACAUUCGUGGGGGAUAAAAUUGUAGUUACACCUUCCGAGGAGGUUAUUGCUCAAGGAGUUUGAGUGUGGGAAAAUUCCUUAGUAGGGCAAUUAAUUUAUGCAAAAAUGCCUUAUGCAAUCAUAUAUUAGCUUAUCGAGAAACUCUGGAGUAAAAUUGAAAUGCCCACGAUUACGAUUCUUGAGAACGAACUGAUCUGUUUCCAAUUCAGACGUCCAAGAUUUGUUGAGUGGAUCCAAUCUUGUGAACUGGGGCAUCUUGGUGGAAAACCUAUUCUCCUUCGUAAAUGGACCCCAGGUGUUGUCUCUGAAUCCUUUGUUUUUUAUUCUGUUUCUAUAUGGAUUAAACUUGGUAGAAUUCAAAUGGAGCAAUGAAUAGAUUUCAAAUUGGCUGUUGUUGCUAGUGCUAUAGGCAAAUCCCUAUCUUUAGAUCUAGCUACUAAGGAAAAAUGAAGACUGUCAUAUGCGAGAGUAUGUGUUUAAUUAAAUGUGAACUCACCUAUGCCUACUAAAAUUACAGUUAACCUUAGGGGAGUGGAAUUCAUUGUGACUAUAAAUUAUGAGUGGAAGUCUCGAAAGUGUAAUAUGUGUAAGGCUUUUGGGCAUUCUGGUGGUAAGUGCCCUAGGAGUGUGGAGAAUAAGGUUCUUCAGAAGGAGGAUGUGAGUAAGGUGGUUUCUAACAAAGAGGAGGAACCGACAAAUGUGGCUUGUGGAGAUGUGGUGUUGAAGUUGUUUAAAUAGUUGGAGGAAGGGGAGAAUAACAGUUCCCCGAUUAUGACAAGUAAAGAAAAGGAGGUGGGUAAACGAGAUGGUUUUACUCUUUUCAUUCAAAAGAAAAGGUAGUUGGUUUAUGUUCGAGAUAAGGGUAAAAGUGUGGAUGUGACUAUGUCUAACUUUUUGGCAGCCUUAUAGAGUUGGGCGAAGGAGACAACUAGGCCCUAUCCAUAAUGGAUGGAUACCCUCCCCCUUACAGGUGGACGACACUGCCAUGAUUCUUAGUGGUAUACCAUCCGAUGAUAAUCCUGCUGAAGUGAAGACUCCCAGUACCUCUCAUGAUUGUGGGUGUUCGUGGAAUGUGUGGGGUCUAAAUAGCCUUGUAAAGUGUAGAGCGAUGUUAGAUUUCCUGAGCAUGUCUUUUGUGGAUUUCUGUUAUCUUCUAGAAACUAGGAGUUCGGGAAGAAAAUUUUUGUUCUAUCUCCAGAAGGUUUGGUGAUUCGUGAAGUUACACUUGUAGCUAUAAUAGCAGUGGUGUUGGACAUAUCUAGAUAAUGUGGAGAGGAGUCGCUUCACUUUUUCUCCAUGUUAGGUGGAAGAUCAGUUUGUUUCUGGAUCGUUAAUUUAUUUGCUCUCUACGGAUUAUGUGGAGGUGCUUUGUGUUUAUGCCUCUAAUAAUAAUAUUGAGAGACGUUUACUAUGGGGUCGGUUGGUUGAGAUCUCUUCUAGAUGGACGGGGCUGGGUGUUGUCAUGGGUGACUUUAAUGCUAUCAAACUUCAUUAUGAAGCUUUUGGUGGGUCCCAGAAGAUAUGGAGGAGUCUGAUAUGGCUACAUGUGAUCUUGUUGAACUAUGGUGUAGGGUAACUGGUUCACCUGAGCUAGUAAGGUUCAUGAGUCUGGUUUGAUGAGGCGGCUUGAUCGUAUUUUGGUUAAUGAUGAUGGAAUAGUAACAUGGCCUAGUAUGAGAGUUAGUGUUUUACCCUGGGACAUUUUUUUAUCCCUCCCCUAUCUUAUUCUAUCCUAGAGUGUAGCAGAGAUAGAGGGUGGUUUCUUUUUUAUUUUUUAACCAUUGGGUUGAGGAUGCUUCCUUUAUAGAUGUUGUAUCUUUGGUUUGGGUUUGCCAUGCAGGGGUUUACCCAAUUGUGACUUUUGUGACAAAUUUACAAAACCUCAAGCCUACCCUCUAAAGACAGUUUGGUAAGCACAUUUAAAGUCUUAGUGAGGAGGUUCGUAUUGCUAAAGAGUCCAUGGAUAGAGCUCAGAGAGAGGUUGAACGAAAUCUUAUGUUUGAAGUUCUGAGUCAUCAAGCUGGAUUUGCCACUAAGGCUUUUUGGACGGCUAUUAAACUAGAGGAAGCCUCUUUGCGUCAGAAGUCCAGGAUUCGAUGGCUGAAGUUAGGUGAUCGGAACACUGAUCUUUUCCACUAAUCUAUUCAUUCUCGUUUGAGCUGUAAUUCUAUGCUUUAUGUGGUGGAUUCAGAAGGCUCUAGGGUAACUACUCACGAAAGGGUGGCUCAGGUGGCAGUCAAUUAUUUUCGUAACAGUUUGGGUUCUUAGAAUAUUGACUAUAGAGAGUUGACCCUUGGAUUAAGGAUAUUGUUUAGUUUAGGUGGUUUGAGGAGUGUUGUCAGACUUUACAGGCUCCUAUUGAUUGUGAGGAGGUUAGGAGAGUAUUAUUUUCUAUGGAUAGUGGUAAGACUUAUGGUCUUGAUGGGUAUGUUGUGGGUUUCUUCAAAGGUGCCUGAUCUGUGGUUGGGGAGGAUUUUUGUGAUGCUAUUGUGCAUUUCUUUGAGACUUGUUAUCUUGCAUAUGGACUGACUACUACUGUUAUUACUCUCAUUCCAAAACGUUGUGGGGCUGAACGUAUGAAAGAAUUCAGACCUAUUUCUUGUUGUAAUGUGAUUUACAAAUGUAUUUCUAAGAUUUUGACUGAAAGGCUUCGUGUGUGGCUUCCUUCUUUUGUCAACAGUAACCACACCUUUAUUCCUGGGAGGAGUAUUAUUGAUAAUAUUCUUCUAUGUUAGGAGCUUGUUGGGGGUUAUCAUACUAACUCUGGUAAGCUUUGGUGUACUAUGAAAGUUGAUCUUCAAAAAGCUUAUGAUUCUGUUAAUUGAGACUUUCUUUUUGGCUUGUUGACGGCUAUUGGCACAUACUUGAGGUUUGUAAGGUGGAUUAGAGCUUGUAUUACCUCUUGGAUGUUAUCCAUUAUGAUCAAUAGCUCUUUUGAGGGGUUUUUUUGCAUAUAAAAAAGUGACUAACCAAUUGAAAUAAAUUGAAAAUUGAAAAGAGAGUGGUGAAAAUUGAGGGAUGAGAUCCGUAAUUUUACCAUUCUAAACUUUAGACAUUAUUUUUUAAUUUAAAAAAAUGAAAAGAAAAUGACACAAGAAAAAAAAAAAAAAAGGGACCACACACAAAUUGCCACUCCUACAAGGAGGAAGUAAACAGGAAUUUCCAUUUUGUAAGGUCUCAGCCUUCCAAAGCUGACCAAUUAUCUAUUUAAUCACCCCUCUCUUCUUCUUCUUCAUUCAUCUCCAUUCAUCUCCAUUCAUCUUCAUUCUUCUCUCUUCUUCAACAUAAAUUGUCUUCCAUCUCCAUCCGCCAUGGUUCUCUCCAAAACCGCCUCUCAGUCCGAUGUCUCCGUCCAUUCCACCUUCGCUUCCAGAUAUGUCCGAACCUCUCUCCCAAGGUAAUAUUUUAUUCAUACCCGAUCAGAUAGAUCCCUUCAUCCUUUUCCUUUCUAGAUCUUUAUUUUACUUAUUUCUGUUUUUCCCUGUGAUUCUGUUUCUGGAUCCAAUGUUCUGUUCUGUAAUUUUGGUUGUUAGAUUCAAAAUGCCGGAAAAUUCGAUCCCCAAGGAAGCUGCGUUUCAGAUCAUUAAUGAUGAACUCAUGCUCGAUGGAAACCCUAGGUUGAAUUUGGCCUCCUUUGUUACUACUUGGAUGGAGCCUGAGUGUGAUAAACUCAUCAUGGCUUCCAUUAACAAGAAUUACGUUGAUAUGGAUGAAUAUCCUGUCACCACUGAGCUUCAGGUACGUUUCUUUAUCUCUCUCUAUCUCUUCUUACUUUUAAUCAAAACAUUUAAUUCCAUCGCUUUUCCGUUUCUCUCUGUCGACGCUUCUUUUCCUCCGGAAAUUCUUCUCGAUUGCGAUUUCCAGCUUUCGAUCCUGCAAGAAUUUUUCGGUCCAUAUUAAAUAAUUAUGAAAAAUAAUUAUAGUUGAUUUUUUAUAAAUGACUGUUCUUUUGUCAAAAGAGGAUGUCUAAUUAAAUAUUUCUAAAAUAAUAGUUUUAUAAUCAUUCAAUUUAAAUAUUAGAAAUUUGAGUUUUUCUUUUUCUUUUUUUUUGUUCAAUUGAGAGUUAAAUUUGUUUUUAUAUGAUUUGUUAUAGUUUGGUUCAUGCCACGUCAUUUAGUUUAUAAAUUUAGAUUCAAUAUUUUGAUCAGAUUAUUUUAAAGAGAAAGUCUUAGACUAUAUAUAUAUAUAUAUAUUAAUCCCAUGUGGAGUGGAGUGGUGAUUUGUAUUCUGAAGGUUUUAUCUGGACAAUAUUUGUUUGAGAAUAAAAUACAGAAGUUAAUAAAAUAAAUCUUGUUUUUUCUUUAUAAAAAACUGGUUUAUGUAUAAAAAUAAAUUGAGUUAACCUUUCCUUAAAAAAUAUUAAUUUUGAUGUAGACAUACAUGUAUUAGAUAUUUUUAACUUGAUGUGAAACUAUGGGUGGAAAUGUUAAAAGAAAGAAGAGAAAUGAUUAGAUGUAGAUUUUUAUUAUGUUUUAAGAAAAUAAUAAUAAUCAUUUUAUUUUAAAAUAAAAUAAAACAAAAUGCUCAACCUCGAACAUCUCUUCUAUAAAUCAAUGAGGAGAAAAAUUGUAAAAAAGAUAAAUUUGACAAAAUAUUUAGAACAUAGCAAAAUUUCAGAUUUUAUCAAUAAUAAGCUAUUAUAUUCUUUUAUCAGUGACAUUGAUAGAUAAUAACAAAAGUUUAUAAGUUUCUAUUAGAUAGAUAAGGACAAAAGUUUAUAAGUUUUUAUUAGUGAUAGAAUUAAAAAAAUAUAUACAAUUUUUAAAUAUUUUAGUUUAUUUUACUAUAUUUAAAAAAAUUAAAAUAAAUAAUAAUAAAUUAAUAAACAACCACUUAUACUCUCCAAAACCCAAAAGUUAGUUUCCUUUGCUAACAAAAAAAAAAGUACAUUUCUUUACCAAUAAAAUAAAUUGUAGUUAAAAUUGUAAAUCAUAAAAUCUAGGAUUAAAUUAAAAUAAAAUUAAAAUACUUACAAUAAAACGGUAAGAUUUUGAAUUUAUGAACUAAACCAAAACUAAAUUUAAAAUCUAACAAUGAAAGUAUAAUAUUACGCUAGUUAGAAAUUAAAUAAAAAAUUUAAAAGAAAACUUAAAAGAACGAAAAAAAGUUUUUUUUUUUAAUAAAAAAAUCAACCAUUUGGUUGACUAAAUAGAAUUGUGGAAAAAAACUAUAAUAUAAAGGACAUUUUAAAAUAUAGGAUAUAAAUUAAACUUCUUACAGACUAUAACAAAACCAUUAACUGCUUUUUUUUAUAUUCUUUAUAUAUGUAUAUAUAUUUAUUGUAAUAAUUUUAAUUAUUUCAUAUUUAUGACAUUUCAAAUAUAAAUAUAAGAUAUAAGAGUUCUAUAUAAUAUAAAACUUAAAUUGAUGAUUUGAGAUGCUAGAGGAGUAAUUAGUUUUUUUUUAAUUUUAAUUAUAAUAGUAUGUGUAUGAGAUAUUAUUUUAAUUCGAUAAAAAUUAGUAUAGCAAAAACAAAAUGAUAAAUGUAAAAUACUAACUAUAACAAAUAAUAAUUAUCACAUUAAAUUAGAAGAUUUGGAAAAGUGUUUAAUAUAAGAAAAUUGUGACAUAGCAUUUAGUUUAGCUAAAAAAAAUAGUUAUUAUAAUUUUUUAAUAGUAUUUAGGGAACGAAUUCAAUAAAAUAAAAUAAAAAAAAAAAGUUUUAACUUCCGAUUAUUGAAGAGUAGUAAAAAAGAGUGGAGCAUGAGAGAUUAUGAAAACAAUUUUUUAGGGAGACAGGAAAAAUAAAUGAUAAAUGAAGUGUACCACACUAUUGUAGUGAAGGAGUAGCGUGCAUUUCUCGUUGCACGUCACGUUUCAUUCCGUCACAAUUCCUUUGUUUGCUAGUGUAAUUUGUUUGUGUUUCAACAAAAAGUUUUCUUUUCUUUUCAAUUUACUUUGUCGGCCCUUCUCAACUGAAUAGCUGCUUCCAAUUAUUUUUUAAAAAAUAGGUUUUUCUUUUGUCCUCUUAAAUAUUUAUCUUAAAGUACAUAUUAAGACCAUUUCAAAUUCUGUAUUGAAAAAGUAAUUCUCAAGUUGAAAAAUAAAAUUAAAGGGUAAUUCUUGCCCAAAUUUAAUGUCUAUAAUUCGUAAUUAAAAACUAAUAGUAACACCUACAAUUUAAUAAGCUUUCUAAAUAGUAACUCUAACGAGAAGUAGAGAUGUCCACGAAGUGGGAAUAGGAAUGUCACUCCCCAUCUCCAUUCCCAUUUCUAGCCCUCUAUUCCAUUGGUUGUUUUCACUAAUUUUCCCACAUAAAAAGGUGUGCUAGUUGAGAUUAUGUGGGAUGGAUUAGCACGAGAAAAUACUACUUUUAUUAUUUUUGUUUUUUUAUAAAUAAGUAUAAAUUUAAAUUACGUAUAUAUACAUACAUAUAUGUUUAUACACACAUAAUAUAUAUAUAUAUAUAUUAUAUACAUUUUUUUUUUUGUAUGGGGAAUGUUUUUUCUGUUUUCGACCCUGAAAUAUCAAAAGAGAAAUUAUUAUUCAUUCUCUUUUUCAUUUGUCGUGUAUUUAAGAAUUUGCUGUCAUGUUUGGGGUUUUUGUGGAGUCUGGUAUUGCGAAUUAAAUAAACAUCUUUAACAAAAUCGUGUUUAAGAAAAACGAAGGACAUAUGUGGAAUUUUGACUUCAGUAUACUGUGGUAUGUAAUAAUGUUAACUUCGAAGUUUAACCAAUUAGUUGAAGUUUGUGAAGUCUUUGCCUCAAUAAUUGCCGAGAUUUAAGGGAACUAUGGAAUUCCAACCGAUUGUCUCUAUUAUUACGAGUGGCCCAGAAUUAAUUGACAUACCUUCUUUUCUUAUACUAUUAUGAGGGAAUCCCAAUUUUGUCCUCGUUAACAUUUUAAAAACUGUAAAUUCUCUCUUUAAUUUAAAAUAAACCUUUAGAAUGGAAGGAUUAUAUAUUGUAUAUCCAACAUUUGACCUUAUCUAACGAAUCCAUCAACCAUAACCCACCUCUAGUUUUAUUUUACUUUUCCUUUUCCUUUUUUCCCUUCAUCAUUCUUUUUUUUCUUUAUUGUUUUCACUUUUCUUUUACUUUAUGAAAUGUUUAGUGGUGAGGGAGUAGGUAAUGUUUUAUCUUUUGAUGGAACAAUUUUGACAUUUCCCUUCUCAAUUUUCUUUUUAAAAAUUAGAGAGAGAAAAUAUGACUGAUGUGAUUAAUCAGGAUCUCCCUAUUUCAAUCUGACCAGGAUUUUUCUUUCCUCCUUUGAAUCUUUCUUUCUUCUUUUUCCUUUCCUUUUUUUUUCUUUUUUUUUUUUUUUUUUUUGGUUUUCCAGUCCAAUGCCUGUGUGGGGAACUGAUUUAUAGAUUAAAAUAUAACCUUUUUGGAACAAAAAAUGGAAACCCUCUAUCACAUUUAGGAAAAUAAAAGAGAAAAAUAUUUAAAUUAAAACAAUAAUAAUCUAUAUACUGUUCCUUUUCCUUUUGUUUAAAAAAAAAAACAUAUUUCAUACUUAUCUGUUACUUUAAUCAUUUGUAAGAGAUAUUUGUUAAAAUAUUAAAUGAAAAUAAGUAAUAUGGACCAAUGUGAAUAUGACAUACAUAGUGAGGUUAAAUGAGUAGUGUUCAAGUUUCAAUUUUGUAAAUAACUAUUAUAAUAUUUGCAGUUUAAAUAUUUGCUAACUUUUAAAAGAAUAAAACUAUCUUUAAAAACAAAUGCAAUAUAUGAAAAACGAUUUUUAGAGGAAAAAAAUUCUAAACAUGAUGCAUUGUAACUGUACUAUUUCUUUUCCACUUAAUGAAUACUUACAAAUAUAUGUUUUAAGCAAUUUAAAAGUUAUUUCGCUUGAAUUGAAUUAUUGUCUAAUCAACUAGCUUAUCAUUUAUUUUUUUUUUAAAGGUAUUUUGAGUAUUUAAAUAUUAACCCUAUACUUUUUUUCAAUAUUUUUAUAUUUACUUUAAUAAAGAAAAUAUCAUAAAUUUUAUUAUCACUUAUCUUCCUUAAAAAAAAUAGUAAUUCAUUUUUAACAUUGUUGUGUUUGUUUUUCAAACUUUAAGUAAGAUUCCAACAGUAUUUUAAAAAAAAAACAAUAAAAGGAGGUAACCAAAUGCUGCUCUCAUAAAUGAACUAAAAGAAAGUUGCUCUUAUAUUUAUUUAUUUAUUCUUCAACUCUGUAACCAAAUCAACAACUUGAGUUUUAAUAUAUGGAUGUGGUGCAAGAUUCAGUGAUUCCAUUUUACGAAAAAAAAAACCAAUAGAAAUAUAAAUAUAAAUAUAUGAUGAUAUAAAAGAAUAUUUCAUAAAAUUAUAUUAAAAAUAUAUAUAUAUGGAUGUAUACAUUCUAUAUUUUAACCAAAUUAAAAGGUUUAACUAUGACAUUGUGUGACAUUUUGUUGCUUAAAUUUUAUGUCCAUAUUUCAAUAUAACCUAUGCUAAAAAGUUCAAGGAUUAAAUUAGUUUUUUUUUCUUUCUUUUUUUGUAUGUGAUUACAAAUGAUGAGUUUUAGGAGUAAGAUUAUUAGUAAAUAAUAUUGAAAUUAUUUGUGUUUGUGUUAAAUGUAAAAUGCAGAACCGAUGUGUGAAUAUGAUAGCACAUUUGUUCAAUGCCCCAUUGGGUGAUUCUGAAACGGCAGUGGGAGUUGGAACAGUGGGAUCGUCAGAGGCCAUAAUGUUGGCUGGUUUGGCUUUCAAGAGAAAAUGGCAGAACAGAAGGAAGGCUGAAGGCAAGCCCUAUGACAAGCCCAACAUUGUCACUGGUGCUAAUGUCCAGGUAUUUAAUCACUAACAUUCAAUUCACUGAUUCAUCCUCUAACAACAACAUUGUUCUUUUCUUUUUUUCUUUUUAAGAAAACUUUGUACAGAGCUCCAAUUCUUUGAAUUACUUCCUCUAAUAAGAAGUUUUGUCCACAAAAGACAAACCCAAGAAGAUAUAUAUGUUUUAAGUCAAUAACAACACCUUGUGUUGUUUUCAGUUUUUGAAAAAUAGAACUGUUUGGUAACGGUUUCCUUUUUUAUAAUCAUUAUUAUUUUAAAACCAAACUUCUACAGUGCAUAAACAUAAAUGUAACACAAAUCUUUGUCGUAUUUUAUUUUAAAAACUUAUUUUCAAGUAAAGUUUUUACCAUAUUAAUCAACAACACAAAAGCACAAGUAAUGAAAAAUUGUCUUUAAUUUUAUUUUAAAACAAGAAAUAAGCUAUUGAAAUAUUACCAAACAAGCUUUAAAUUUUCAUCAGGGACUUAAACCCAUCUUAGAGAGGAUAUUUCUAAACAUAUGAAGCCUAUAUGCUAACAGUAAACCCUUUGUUUUAUGCAUAAUCAGCAAUGUUUUGCUAACAUAUUGCUGUCCUAAACAAAAAAUAUGAAGGUAUGCUGGGAGAAAUUUGCAAGAUACUUCGAAGUAGAACUGAAGGAGGUGAAAUUGAGGGAAGGUUACUAUGUGAUGGAUCCAGAGAAAGCUGUAGAGAUGGUUGAUGAGAACACAAUCUGUGUUGCAGCCAUCUUGGGUUCCACUCUCAAUGGAGAAUUCGAAGAUGUAAAGCUCUUAAACGAUCUCUUAGUCGAGAAGAACAAAGAAACUGGGUACAAUUUCUUCUCUCCAUCCCUGUUCUUUUUCUCUUUAAAUGGGAUGUUCAAAUGAAAUCAAAUCUGAAAUUGAGCAUAAAUUUUAAACAGAUGGGAUACUCCUAUUCAUGUUGAUGCUGCGAGUGGAGGGUUUAUUGCUCCAUUCAUUUACCCUGAGCUAGAAUGGGACUUUAGGUUGCCACUUGUAAAGAGUAUUAAUGUGAGUGGCCAUAAGUAUGGGCUUGUUUAUGCUGGAAUUGGUUGGGUUAUCUGGAGGAACAAAGAAGAUUUGCCUGAAGAACUUAUCUUUCAUAUCAACUAUCUUGGAGCUGACCAACCCACUUUCACCCUCAAUUUCUCCAAAGGUAUACAUUAUAUACCCUAAUCUAUGCUCAUUAGAGCCUAAUUUUGUUUUGCUUGAUGAUUUUGAAGCUGAAGUUGUGUUUUGUUACCUGUAGGAUCUAGUCAAGUCAUUGCUCAGUAUUACCAAUUGAUCCGUUUGGGUUAUGAGGUGAGAUUCUCCCAUACACGAUCUUUUAUUUAUCCAUUUAACUAUUGAAUUUGCAUUAACACUUUGUAACAUCUUUAUUUUUUAGAUAAUUUAUUUUAGCUCCUGAACUUUAGGUUGGUCAUCCUUAGCAUGAAGGACAUCCAGUAACAUGACAGUUAUAAUAAUAUGUAUAUUAAUCUUAUGUCCGUUUGAUGAGACAAAUAGAAUACCGUCAAACACUCAAAAACAAACCAAAAACUCAAAAACACUCAAAAUUAUAUAAUAUCAUAAGAAAAGUAACAAGAUGGCCUAGCAUUUUAAGAGGAGUACUCUCCCAAAUUCUCUAAAAAGAUCCCACAAAAAAUUCUUCACGCUUGAGCCUCACUCUCAAUUAUUGUUUGUAAUCCAAACAUGUACCAGAAUCAUACAUACUUGGAAACUUGACGGGAUAGUCUUAAACAUUUAUAGACCAAAAUAGGAUUCUACAACCAAUGUGGUGAUUUGAAAGCAGAACUUCAUCAGGAGAAACAGAAUCACCAUUUAAUCUAACAAAGUAAAACCAUUUUUGUUCACCAGG